This 53655-nucleotide long non-coding RNA is filed under the name Hordeum vulgare. Its description in RNAcentral is "long non-coding RNA (HVUL_LNC001532)". Lineage: Eukaryota; Viridiplantae; Streptophyta; Magnoliopsida; Poales; Poaceae. The record is from RNAcentral.
GGGCGGCGCCGCGGCGCAGGGCGUGGGCUCCGUCAUCACGCAAUCGGUGUACGCGAGCAUGCUGCCCAACCGCGACAACUCGCAGUGCCCGGCCAGGGGGUUCUACACGUACGACGCCUUCAUCGCCGCCGCCAACACCUUCCCGGGCUUCGGCACCACCGGCAGCGCCGACGACGUCAAGCGCGAGCUCGCCGCCUUCUUCGGCCAGACCUCCCACGAGACUACCGGUACGUCAAUCAGUCAGUCAGUGUUGCUUUCGGAACUCGAUCGUGGCUGCCUUGAUUAACCGUACGUGCUUGUGCAUGGAAUGCCAACGUUGCAGGAGGGACGAGAGGCGCCGCCGACCAGUUCCAAUGGGGCUACUGCUUCAAGGAGGAGAUAAACAAGGCCACGUCUCCACCCUACUAUGGACGGGGACCCAUUCAAUUGACAGGGUGAGAAAAAUUGCAAAUUAUUAUAGCACACUUUGAAGCAUCUUCUACAUGCAAAAUAUUUCCUCUGUAUCUAAAUAAUUAUAGUUGUUGCCAUGAAAAGAACAAAGGAAGUACCGUUUCAAAAAAAUAAAAUAAAUACCACACACUGAAAUAAUCUGUAGAAAAAUCUGCUUGAAAAGUACAGCAGUGUUGACAUUCAUUUUCGCAUGCAAUCAUUCUAGUAACAACAAAGACCCGAGGCCUUGGUUGCUUUGCGGAAAAGAUUGUUCUGAUGAACCAAUAAUUCCUUGUGCGAUUGACCAGGCAGUCCAACUACGAUCUCGCCGGGAGGGCGAUCGGGAAGGACCUUGUGAGCAACCCGGACCUGGUGUCCACAGACGCGGUGGUGUCCUUCAGAACGGCCAUUUGGUUCUGGAUGACGGCGCAAGGCAACAAGCCGUCGAGCCACGACGUCGCCCUAGGCCGCUGGACGCCGACGGCUGCCGAUACAGCUGCAGGUCGGGUGCCUGGAUACGGCGUAAUCACCAAUAUCAUCAACGGCGGGCUCGAGUGCGGCAUGGGCCAGAACGACGCCAACGUCGACCGCAUCGGCUACUACACGCGCUACUGCGGCAUGCUUGGCACGGCCACCGGAGGCAACCUCGACUGCUACACCCAGCGAAACUUCGCUAGCUAGACACUAUGGAUAGUGUAUGCACGUGUUACGAAUAAAGGGCUACACUCAUGAAUAAGGGGCAACACAUAUCCCAUCAUGAAAUAAAUAAUUCGAUAUGUGAUCCAGUUGAUCGUGUCGUAUGAUAAUACGAGUAAGUUGUUGUAACAAAUUAUGUAAAUUGUUCAAUAAAAUCAUAUCAUUACAACUGGUUUUUUAAAUAUGGUACACUAAAAAUAAUCCACAUACACGAGUAUACACUCAUCUCUAUAAAGAUACGCAUGCAUAUCCUAUUCUAUCCAUAUGAGCACCUUCGAAAGACUGGCCCAACACAUCAUCUUGAUAUUGACAAAGUCAUCACAUAUACCUUCAUAGUCGACGGAAAUGUCUCUUCUCACUAAACGCACAUGGUUGAAAACCAGAAAUAAAUGAAGAAAAAUAGGAACACUAAUGUCAUGUAUGGACUUGAACUCUAGUGAAUAUACAUAUCACUCUCUUUCUAACCAUCAAAGCACAGAUUGGUAUCAUUGUUUUAUUUUGUUGUAUGUGAGAGGAUGUAUAGCAGACCAACUAACGUGACAAAUAUUUUACUUGUUUAAUCAGUUCUUCAUAACAAAAAGGAAAGAAAAGUCAGGAUUUAUGAAAUGAAUGAGGCUAACGCGUGUUUCGUUGCAUCGGUCUUCACUCGUUUUUUUAGAAAAGGAGGAUGAUCCCCGGCCUCUGCAUCUGGAAGAUGCAUGCGGUCAUUUUAUUGAUUAUUCUCGAGGACCUUACAAAGCAGUACAACAAUAUGCCUGAAUCCGCCAUCUUGGCAACAUCUGCCGCUACUCCUAUCCAUAUGAUGAAGGGGUGCAAGCUGGACCAAAUACCCAGACCUCUCACCUAAGCCUAACAUCUAAAGCCGGAUACCCUGACCGAGCCACAUACCGGGUCCGGGGCACAAACCGGUCCGACGCACUCACAUGUGUCGUCGCCGCCAUCUUCCAUUGCUCCAUCUUCAGAUCAGAUUGAGGUACCAGCCUUGGCAGGUGCCUCCUCCAUCGACGCCAUCAUGAUGCCAAACGACGACAUCCACCAACGCGAGUCCAUCUCCAAGCAACUGACGAAGAUCCAUGCUAGGAUAGGGCCGCAUCACCGCCGUCGCCCACCACCCACAAGCGCCACCCAGCCCCAAGGUUCCCAAAGCGACGCCUUCAAGAAGGGAACGGCGCCGUGAGCGCCGCCGCCGCCCAACAAAGUUAGGGCUUUCGCCGGGAGACCUAGGGGAAGGGGAAGUGAGGGGAUCAGUCCAUACCAACGCCUCCAAGGAGGGGAACGACGCCCUCGGGCGUCGCCGUCGACGCGGCCGGCCAUGGCCGACCAGGGAUUUCGCCCGACCUAGAUCCCCACCACCAGCAGCACCUCCUGUACAAAACCGGCAAUCCAAGGAAGCGCGGCCCGACCAGGCUGGCCCACACGCCGAACAGGGAAGGAGGGGAGGCGCUAGAUCGCGCGCACCGGCCACCGCAAAAGCCGCCACCAGACGUCAGCGACCACCGGAUCCCGCCGCCCGCGUGGCCGAGACGCCGGAUCCACCUCCCGCACGGCUGCUAGCCUACCGUGCCUCGCCAAUGAAGCCGCCGUUCCAGAUCCGGAACUCCACAUGCAGAGGCAGGGUAACCUAGGCCCCGCCGCCACCAUCCUUGGCGCCCCGGGCUUGCCCGGCGGCUGCCUCAGGCGGCGGCGAGGAAGGGAUGGGGAGGGGGAGGCGGCUAGGGUUGGGAUGGAGGGAGCGUGGGAUUAACUUUAUAUAUAUAUCAGUUUACUGCAGACAGUUGUUUGAUUUUGGCUUUAUCAGUUGUCUUGAGUUUUAGUUAUAUUUUGGUGGUGGUUUUUUCCUUUCAUAUAUUUUGUUGGCUUUUGUUGAAAAUGAUUUUUUUAGAUGAGAUUAGAGUUGUUCGAUGUGGGGUUUUGGGGUCUUCAAACCUUUCGGCCUUGGAGUCAGCCGAGGAUGGUUUCAUGAGCCCUUUGGGAGCUCUCAUUCCAUACUAAAAUUGUAGAAUCGCUCCUAAGAGCAUCUCUAAUAGGGCAGCCUCUUUUCAAUUAUAGGGCAGGCAAAAUCGAGAUAUAGGACAGCAAAACAACAGUCGUUUUACCAGCAGCCCAAGAUAGGGCAGCACCCGCCCCAGCAGCCACUACUAAGAAAAGGGCUAUAGAUGAUAUAGAUAUUAAUGCCGCACCACACAAGCCGUGCGCCACUACUAUAUAAUAAUGGCGUACCAUGUGAGGUGUGCCAUUAGUGUGGUGGAUAUUAAUGGCGCACCACACUCUCGGUGCGCCACUACUAUAUAUAUAUAUAUAUAUAUUUUUGCAAAACUACUAAUGGUGCACCAGCACCUGGUGCGCCAUUAGUAACCUGGUUACUAAUGGCACAUAUGUUAGUAGUGCGCCACUACUAUAAAAAAAAUUGGUUUUUUUUUGCAAACUACAAAUGGCGCACCAAAGCUAGUGCGUCAUUAGUAAGCAGUGUUACUAAUGGCGCAUCUAUUGGUGGUGCACCACUACUAUUUUUUUUACAGAACUACUAAUGGUGCACCAGAGGAGGUGCGUCAUUAGUAACCAGGGUUACUAAUGGCGCAUAUGUAGGUGGUGCGCCAUUAGUAACCUGGGACCAGCUAGAUAUUUUGGACAACCACCUACCACACUCACUUUCCCCACUUUCAUUCUCUCCACCUCCUCCUCCAAGCUUGUCUCAGGUGCCUCCUCCUCCUCACCUCAUUUGCAUCAUAGAUUCACCCAAAUUAAGUGGUUAAAUUACCUUUUUUUGAUAGGUAAGUAAGGGGAAAGCUUUUAUGUUGUAGAUCUACUUUUUUCUCCCUCCAACAACGUGCACAUGCACUUUUUAUGGCCUAGCUAGAUCUACGUAUGUUUGUUGUGUUGCAUAUGUUUGUGGUGUUGCAUAUUUGUUUGUGUUUGCAGGUACCGGUAUUUGAAAUGCGAUAGUUGCCAAUAUUUUCCCGGAAUGUUGAUUCAUUUCCGUUUCGGUGAGAAUUUGGCACUAUGCAUUCUUUUUUGUCCUAUUUUUAGGCAAAGUCAUGCCAAAAAAAAAUUUUGGUUAUAAAAUAUCAUUUUGCUUUACCCCGCACGCGACCAUGGUCCGCACGAUGACCGAAGGCAUCGUGAAUAGGUUUUUGAGCUCCGCGAAGGCCGAGAUGCUUCAAAAGAACGAGACGAAGAUAAGAUGUCCGUGUCGAAGAUGCAAGCUGAAGAGCCUUAUGGACCCGGAUUCCGUAAAGGUGCGGGACCACCUGCUCUUGCGUGGUUUCAUGGAUGGCUAUCGGUGGCAAGGUGAUGAAGAUGAUUAUGAAGUCGUCCAUGGGGGCCGGGAAAGAAAUGAGGAAGGGCAUGAGCAAGACAACCGCGGCGAGGGCGGGCGAGAAGACGAAGAAUCUCCAGGACACAGUCAUCAUGUAGAAGAUGCCGGACAUGAUGAUGAGGAAGAUGCCGGAGCAGACGAAGGGCAUGAUCAUGAAGAUGAAGAUGCCGGAGCAGACGACGAUGGACCAUCCAUGCCCUGGGUGCAGGACCCUCAUAUUCAAGAGCUGCUUCUCAAGCAGACGGAUAACGCAAGAGCUGCCGCCCGAGAGAAAGCCAAGCUGGAUCAACUUGAGAUAGACGCGGUUACUCCAUUGUAUGAAGGAUGCAGGCCCGAGGAUACCCGCCUGAAAGUAAUGCUCAUGGCUCUGGAGAUGAAGGUAAAACACAAAAUGACCGACGCAUGCUUCGACGAGAACAUGUCAUUCUGGCACGAACGUCUUCCCAAGGGGAACAACUGCCCGACCAGUUUCGAGGAGGCAAAGAAAAUCGUGUGUCCUCUGGAUUUACCGCACGUGAAAUACCAUGUGUGCAUGAACAAUUGCAUCAUUUAUCGGGACGAGCACGCGGAGUCUACCAUAUGUCCGGUGUGCAGCGUCAGUCGAUACAAGAAGAGGAAGAAAGCUCCUCAAAAAGUGGUGUGGUACUUUCAUAUCACUCCUCGUCUGCAACGGUAUUUCGCGGACCCUAAGGUAGCAAAGCUCCUGCGUUGGCACGCGGAUAGGGAGGAGAAAAAGCGAGAAGAUGACGGAAAUGAUCCGGAGAUAAAUAAAAAAGACAAGAUGCUGAGUCACCCUAAGGAUGCGAGCCAGUGGCAAGCGUUGAACUACGAAUACCCAGAAUUUGGGGACGAUCCAGGGAACAUCGUGCUGGGCGCGAGCACCGAUGGAGUCAAUCCGUUUGGCAGCCAGAAAAUCACACAUAGCACCUGGCCUGUGUUUGUGUGGAUGUACAACCUUCCCCCUGGUUGUGCACGAAGAGGAAGUACAUUCACAUGAGUAUGCUAAUUGAAGGGCCUAAACAACCAGGGAACGACAUCAAUCUAUAUCUGGGGCUGUUGAAAGAGGAGCUAGACACGCUGUGGAAAACGCGAGCCAAUACGUGGGACGCCGCAGAGAAAGAAUAUUUCCCUAUGAGAGCCGCACUGCUCCCGACGGUGCACGACUAUCUCGGUUAUGGAUAUGUCGCGGGGCAGGUGGUCCACGGGUUUUCUGGAUGCGUCAGGUGCAUGGAUGACACAAUGUAUCGCCAGCUAGAUAGAGAUCCCGGGUCUUCAAAAACCGUGUUCAUGGGACCUCGAAGGUGGCUUCGCAACGAUGACACAUGGAGAAAACGCAAGGAUCUGUUCGAUGGUGAAACCGAACCCCGAAGACGCCCCCUUAUGAGGAGCGGCGAGGAAAUAUACGAGCUGUUGAAAAAUUGGAAAAAGUGCCCACCGCCGGGAAAGGCGCUAGAGCCGGGAAAGAAGCGAAAGGCGCUAGAGCCGCUCCUGAAGGUAUGGAAAACGAGGUCUGUUUUCUGGGACUUGCCGUACUGGAAGAUCCUCCGUGUGCCUCACAGCCUUGAUGUCAUGCAUAUCAUGAAGAACGUGUGCAAGAGUCUGCUUGGUACCCUGCUCAACAUGCCAGAGAGGACCAAAGAUGGACCGAAAGCAAGGGCAGACUUGAAAUCAAUGGGCAUCAGGGAGGAGCUUCAUGCUAAUAAUGAUGAUGAUGAUGAUGAUGAGGCGAAGCAGGACACGGAAAGUCGUCGCAAAGGCAAAAAGUACAAGAAGACCGGAAAUGACUUUCCUCCCGCGUGCUUCACUCUAAGUCAGGAGGAGAUCGAUCAGUUUUUCACCUGCCUCAUAGGAGUAAAACUUCCUUACGGUUACGCGGGGAAGAUAAGCAGAUACCUAGACUCAGCGAAGCAGAAGUUUAGCGGGAUGAAGUAUCACAACUGUCACGUGCUGAUGACGCAGAUACUUCCAGUUGCAAUCCGUGGGAUCAUGGACGCGCACGUCCGUGAAAUGCUUUUUGACCUAUGCAACUUUUUCGACGUCAUCUCUCGGAAGUCGGUUGGCGUGAGGCAACUCAGAAGGCUACAGGAAGAGAUCGUGGUGAUACUAUGCGAGCUUGAGAUGUACUUCCCGCCCGCAUUCUUCGACGUUAUGGUGCAUCUGCUGGUCCAUAUCGUGGAGGAUAUCAUCCAACUCGGGCCGACGUUCCUGCACAUCAUGAUGCCGUUCGAAAGGAUGAAUGGUGUCAUCAAAGGAUACGUCCGCAACAUGUCACGUCCAGAGGGAAGCAUAGCCAGGGGCUUUCUGACCGAAGAGUGCAUCUCCUACUGCACGAAUUAUCUAGGCAUCGAGAACCUCGUUGGUCUGCCCGUCAACAGGCACCUCGGCAGGCUCGCAGGAUGGGGUCACCGUGAGGGUCGCCGCGAAAUGCAUGUCGACUUCGAGGGUCGACUCGCCGACUUUGAAAGAGCAAACCUAGUCGCGCUACAACACAUAGACGUGGUCGAUCCUUGGGUCGUAGAGCACAAAACCUUUAUUGAAAAGACGUACAAUGACCGAGGCCAACAGAGGACGGACGGAGAUAUAAUCAAAGAGCACAACUCAUGUUUAACGCGUUGGUUCAAGCAGAAGCUUUUGUCGUAGCCUUUACAUGAGGAUUCUUCCGCGGAAGAACAACUCAUAUUCGCCUUGUCACAGGGCGCCGAGCACAACCUGAUGAUGUAUGAGGCGUACGAUACCAACAGCUACACAUUCUACACCGAGGGAAAGGACAUGAAGAGCGAUGGUUAUCAGAACUCCGGGGUAACGAUGGAAUCCUACACCGGUAACGACAAGGACAGAUACUACGGAAGGAUCGAGGAGAUCUGGGAGCUGAGCUGCGCUGGAGAGAAGGUCCCGAUGUUCCGUGUCAGAUGGGCCAAGAGCGUCAUAAAAGAAGACCGGUAUUUCACCACCAUGGUUAUACCCGAAGCCAAAUCCAAGACCGCGGGCGCAAAAGUCACCGCGAAAAAUGAGCCAUGGGUACUGGCUUCCCAAGUGGACCAAUGCUUCUUCAUUACCGACCCGCCAAAGCCCAGUCGUGUUGUCGUGAGGAGAGGCAAAAGGAAGAUCAUCGGAAUGGAUGGAGUCGCCAAUGAGCAAGACUUCGACAAGUACGGCGACCCGAAGAUGGAACAUGACGACGAUGAUGAAGUACCAGCAUACACCACAAGAAGAAGCAGGACCACCCUACCUAAAGGACGUCCGUUCAAGAGAAGAACUCCAUUUACGAAAAAUAAGGGCAAGAAGAUUGUGAACAAAUAGCUAGCUAAGAUCGAUUAUAUUUAAAUUUGAUGAUAUUUUUUCAUAUUCAAUAUGAAAAAAUAUUGAAUAUUCAUGAGGACACUCGAUCUCGAUCCCCUCCAUCUCGAUCGCUAUCACCCCUCGCAAGAUCCCCCUCGCCGCCGAGCACCCCCCGCACCCUCCCCCGCUCCACCACCGUCGCCGUCGGCAUACUUACCACUAGAACACCUAUUCAGAAGAUACUAGGCACUUCUCAAAAAAAUACUAGGCACUUCUCAAACCAAGGUGCAACCAGCACAAGAAAACAAUGCAAAAAAAAUAAAAAUACUAGGCACUAGAUGUUGUUGUGAGGCACUAGAUAUUCAUAGGCAUCUAAUUGCAAACAUAAAAAAAAAUACUAGACAUCUACUUGCAAACAUAAAAAAAUUUACUAGGCACUUCUCAAACCAAGGUGCAACCAGCACAAGAAAACAAUGCAUAGAAAAAAAGGAAAAAAGAGAGGGGGGAAGAGGAUUCGAACCCGCAACCUCCUGCUAGGAGGCAAAACCCACGGACCACUGUGCUGCUACUUCGGAGGUUAACAACAUAGAGAAGGCGCACCUCAUAUACAUGCGCCAUUACUACAUAAAAAAACAUUCUAAUGGCGCACCGCUCGGGGUGCGCCAUUCCUAAGCCGGGCCGCGCCCUCCUCUCUUCUCCCGCGGCCUCCCCCUACCCCUUUCCACCAAACAGCAGCUCCCCCACCUUCGUCCACGCAGCCCACGGAGCUCUGGCGGCGCUAGGGUUUUCUCCGCCUCUGCCUCCGCCUCAGAUAGCCGAGGUGCGAAAUAUUAUCAGCCCCAACACACUCAAGAAGGUGGUCUCUGAGCAGAUGAACUGGAUCCCAUUACAUCAGCAGAAGAAGGGAUGAAAAAGAAAGACUAACAAGGGUGCGAGCCAGCCGGCACUGAGUACGAUCCGUGCUCUGGACGGGCCACCUUCACCUAAGGAUAUCUCGAGGAGGGUGCAUGUGGCGGGUAGGCCGAUGCUACCGACUAAUCUACUCAAUGCUGCAACUGGUGCUAUGCGGAGUCUGCAUGACAGUGUUCUUUGUUUGGAGAAGCGGCGUCUCUCCGAGAAUAAUGUGGCAUACCCGGUUUUCGUGGCCAAGGUGCCAGAGGGCAAGGGCUUUGUCGAUAGGCCAUCGGGGGUAUGAUCGUCCUGCGGUUUGUUGACAUCUUCGCUAUGUUUAACCUUCAUCCGCUGCACUACACCUUCGUUCGGCUAUUUUCGCUGAGUAUGGAGAUGCGGAUCAUUAGAGACAAGACCCCGAACCUAGUGAUAGUCGACCCCUUCUAUAUGCGUGCCAAGAUCUUGGGCAGCGCUGGGGACCGGCAAGUCACGAGUUCAUACCUCGAAGGCGUCAUUCUGGCAAACUCAGAAAAGGAUAACUUCCUCGUGCCUUACUUUCCCUGGUAAGUUAUCCCCUCAUCGCCACGUAACAUAUGAUUUCUUAGAUUUUGAUCGUCCUUUUUUUCUAACAUUCCGUGUUUUGUGCAGUGACACACGUUGCACACUCAUCCUCUUAAGUCUGAAAUAUUCCACGGCCACGUAUUUCGACUCGGACCGUCAGUCAAAAAAAGACUACACAAAUAUCAAGAAAGUUCUUGAUGAAGCUCUUCCCGGCUAUGCCAUAUCUGGAGGCACCUUCAGCAGGACAAGUCUCAGGCACGGCAAGCACGUGUUCACCCACAAUACGACGUUCGCCUGCGUCAAGCAGCCGCCUGGCAGUCAGAAGGAUGCCUACUACGCCCUCCAUCACAUGCGGGCGAUCAUACGGGAUAGUAAUCACCUUCGGCUACCAAAUAAUCUCAAAUAUUGGGCCGCACACUUGUCGGCAAUCCAGGAUGCGGACAUCAGACAAGAAUUCUUUCGCAUCCAGUCGGAGUUUGCAGAAAUCAUCCAUCAAGAUGUCCUUCGUACCUCGGGGCAGUUCUACCUCAGAUCUCCGCUGUCCUAUACUGAGAUAGAUACAAUGCUACAAAUGCAGGCUGACAACGACCGCAAUUUCAUGACCAUCACGAAAGAUGGCGGCUUCAUCCACGUUCCCGUGAAUCGCUACUAAUUCAUGUUGCAAUAUUAAACUUUAAUGAACUGGUAUGUCUCUUUGGUUUGGACAGUCGUUCAACUUAUAUAUAAUCGAUGCUAUUUAUUAGUAGGACCAUGAAUCGUGCUGUUAUAGUUGUAAUAUUAAACUUUAAUGAACUUGUAUGUCUCUGUGAAUUGCUACUAACGUUUUGUUUGGCUAGUGCAUAGAGAUGCCGUCGUAUGUCGUGUACAAGGGUAAGGUUCCCGGAGUCUACGACGACUGGGAGGAGUGUCGGAGACAGGUUCACCGAUUCAGCGGUAACAGUUACAAUGGGUACACCACAAGGGCGGAGGCGGAAGUUAGAUACGCGCGCUAUCUACGGGAGAGAGGAGGGAGCGUUGGAGGAACCGGAUGAAGACCAGUUUCAUUGCGAUUAUGCUCAUCGUGAUGACCGCAUCUCUCUUCUAUAUGUGAUGGUAGUUUAGAUGGUCGAUAUAUCAACUUGUAAUGUGAAGACAAAUUCGCUGCUCGCGGUCUCGAGACUUGUAGUAUUCUAACUUUUUUCGGUAUUUUAAAUUCGGAGACUAAUAUGAUGAAUUGUAUUCGGAGACUAAUCUUCUAUUGUAUUCGAUAAAUCUGUUGUUUAUAUGUUGUGCUAUCCAUAUUCUGUGCAAUAAUAUAUUUUGUAAUAUGUGCAAAUAUCAGAAAAAAUAAAAUAAAUACCUAAUAUUCAUACUAGUGACGCAUCACUCAGCACACUAGUGCGCCAUUAGUAAGCGAGAGCAUAUGGGUAAAUAUGGCCCUGGGAGGCAUACUAAUGGCGCACCACAAGCUAUACUAAUGGCGCACCAGGAUAUAUACUAAUGGCGCACCAGUAUCUAUACUAAUGGCGCACCGUGAGCAAUACUAAUGGCGCACCGUGAGCAAUACUAAUGGCGCACCGUGAGCAAUACUAAUGACGCACCGUGAGCAAUACUAAUGGCGCACUACCUGGUGCGUCAUUAGUAUACCAGAUACUAAUGGCGCACUUGUAAUGCGCCAUUAGUAAAAAAAUCUAAUGGCGUGAUGCUAGUGGCGCACCUAUAGUGCGCCAUUAGUAGCAAAAAAUGGUGCGCCAUUAGAAGGCCUUUUCCUAGUAGUGAGCUGCCCUCCAUGCUUGGGCUUCUUCCUCUUGUGCAAAAGCAAAAUCAAAGCAAUGUCUUCUUCAUCCUCCAAAUCGUAUUCCCCAUCGGAUGAAUCCUCAAUCAAAACCAUCUACAAACAAACUAGACCGUAUUAAAAAGUGUAAUCCUAAACUACAAACACAAAAAGCAAACAAAAAGUUGAAUACACAUUACCUCGAACACCUUGCGGGCGGCCGAACCGGUGGGUGGCAGCUGCGUCGCCGGAGCAAGCCUCUCCUAGUUGCUGCUGCCGUCGCUGGGUGUUGCAGGCGGCCAAGGGGAAGCAUAAGAGCGUCGUCGGGGUCGCGGCGGCGGCAUAAUCGGCGUCGGUGCCCCGGAUUCGUACAGCGGCGGCGGCGGCGGCAGAUCAACAAUUUAGGGCACUAAACCUCUUGCCUACUUGGGCAGCGGUAUUCCGACGACGAUGGGCAGCGGUAUUCCGGCAGGGGCGAGGUGCGGGAGGGACCGGCGGUGGACGGGCAGCGGAUUUUGGGCAGGGGCGCGGCCUACGGGCGGCGGAUUUGCGGCGGCGGCGGCGGAUUUGCACCGGCGGGGUCGAGGGCGGGAGAGGCUGGGAAAUUUUCGGGUGGCAGUUCGGCUGCGCGCGCGCGUCGUUGGGAAAAUAGGGCAGCCACACAAGUGUUGUAUAUUUGCAACAGUUGGACCAAAUUUAGGGCAGUGUUGUAAAAAAUAUAGGGCAGUUGAUGAAGAUAGGGCAGCUGUUGGAGCACGUUUUUGCCUCUUUUCUGCCCUAUAUGACAGUUUUUAUGCCCCACUGCCCUAUAUAGGGCAGCUGUUAGAGAUGCUCUAACACUCACAUAUGACGGUCACUAAACCUCUUGCCCACUUAGGUUGGCUCCCUGCUCAGCUUGCUCGUUUAGCUUUUUUUUCAGCUCGCUCGACUACUAGCUUAGAAAAAAAUACUGUCCUUUUUCUUAUUUAAAAAUGUUCUCUCUUCUGCUUCUUUCCCACGCCCCCUUGCAACCCUGUUCUUUCUUCUUCUUCUUCCCCAAGAAGAAAACAACGACCCUGUCAUGGAGAAAUCCUCAUUGAGACCGGCGGUGAGAGUGCUAAGCAUGAGCUCGUCGGAGAUUUUGGUGUCGAUGUCGCGAAGCUCAUCGGCGAGCAUCUUGAGCCGCAUGCAAUAGUCAACGAUGGUGGAGUCAUCCUGGUGGCACCUGAAGAGCUCUUGUUGCAAGAAAACAAGACACUGAAGCUUGUUAUCGGUGAAGAGCGCAUUGAUCUUGGUCCACACGGUGCAAGUAUCGUCGUCAUCGGUGACGACCGUGUGGAAGAUGUCCUUCAAGAUGGUUUGGUAGAACCACCGAAUGAGAGUGACCUCGAUGGCGGACCACUCCGGGACGCCCUUCAUGUACUCAGCGUCGACGAAGCCAUCUAUGUGUUCGGUGAGGUAGUACUCGCGGAAGACAAGGUUGAAGUAGGUCUUCCACGCGUAGUACGAGGAGGUGGAGGAGUCGAGGCGGAUGGGAACACGGGCAUCGAUGUUGAUGUCGCGGAUGGCUUCGACGAAGGGUGCAGGGCCGGCGAAGGGGUUGGUGCUGGAGGUGGCCGGCGAAUUCAUGGGGCCGGCUGCGGGGGAGAGAUGGCGAGCGGCGGCGGCGGCUCGGGUGGGAGAGGGGUAGCGGAAGCGAUGAGGCGUGCGGCAGCGGCGGCGGCUGCGAUAGGGUUUAGGUUAGGAACUUUUAGGAUGAUACCAUGUAGAGAGAGAUAUGUUUGGCAAUGCAACUCAUAAUAUUGAUUGAAUAUGCACAGAUAUACAGAAUACAAUAUGAACCUCUAUCUCAACUAUACAAAGGCUAGGAGAUAGACCAAACUAUGUACAUAUACACAUGCCCGACCCUAGGGGGGGGGGGGAGGNNNNNNNNNNNNNNNNNNNNNNNNNNNNNNNNNNNNNNNNNNNNNNNNNNNNNNNNNNNNNNNNNNNNNNNNNNNNNNNNNNNNNNNNNNNNNNNNNNNNNNNNNNNNNNNNNNNNNNNNNNNNNNNNNNNNNNNNNNNNNNNNNNNNNNNNNNNNNNNNNNNNNNNNNNNNNNNNNNNNNNNNNNNNNNNNNNNNNNNNNNNNNNNNNNNNNNNNNNNNNNNNNNNNNNNNNNNNNNNNNNNNNNNNNNNNNNNNNNNNNNNNNNNNNNNNNNNNNNGGGGGGGGGGGGAGGGGCGGCCGCCACGGGCCCCCGGAACCAGAGGGGCCCCCAACUCAGGUACGUGUGAGCGCCCCACCCCCAAUCUAUCGGAGACGCCACCAGAGCAGUUACAAAGUAGCUGCGGUAUGGCUCCGGGAAGAAGAAAGUCGAAACGGUAUUUCUUUUAGCUAAAUGGGCUUUGGGCCUUUGUUUCCUUUAGCUAAAUCGUGGUGUUAAGUGGUUGUGGGCUUCCUCUAAAAGAAGUAGUGGUGGGUUAUGUGUAAGAAAAAAUGAUGACGGGCCACACCAAGCUAGAGGAGGGAGAGGAGCACAUCGGUACAAAACUUAUAAAAGAAAGAAAAAAGAAGAUUGGUGAAUUCACAUGCCCACGUCUUGCCUGGUAUUACAACCCUGGCAAACUAAUAAGUUUUUCUUUUUUAUUGUAAAAUAAAUCUAUUUUUUUGCAAGUGUAGCAAACUAAUACUCUAUCUUGAUAAGAAAAAUAAACAUAUCAAAUUCAGUAUAUGUGCGGAGUCCCUAAAGAAAUGUAUCGUAGCGGAGAGACAAUAGCAACACGCACGGUGACGACGGACUGAUGACAUGAGCGUGCACUAUGGUCAUACUAUGAUAGCCAAAUAUGGAUGACUCAGUUGGUACUCUCGUCUUCAUAACUUUAUAUCAAUAAACACAAAUUGAAUUGAUUGUUCUACUUUGGUGUUAUGAAUUGAGAGUUGAUUGUUCUACUUUGGUGUUAUGAAUUGAGAGUUGAUUUUCUACUUUGGUGUGAAUAUUCAUAUGUGUCAUUUUAAUUGUUAUUUUUCUUCUUUAUAUUUUUGUAUAUAUGAACUUUUUUUUUCAUCUAUUAAGUUUUUUCAUUCAUAAAUUUAUUGUUUGCUCGGUCAUCAUGCUUGCGCGUAACUUGCCUGCAAAUGGGUAAAUGCAAUUUAGAUGAUCUUCUGUAUUCUGCUGCCUCAUUGUGACGACAAACUCUUGAUAUCAUGUGUGUCCCGGUCAGAAAUGACCCAUCACCGCCCUCAACGAGUCCUACCAAGAUGCGGUAUUGUGCACAUUAGCCCCCGCAUCGUCGUGAUCUUAUAGAACACAUGUGUCUGAUUCUCUUUCCAUAGAUAUCAUCGUUAAAGACCUUGUGUGCAAUCUUUUUGUGUGUGUGUGGUGGGGGGCUACCGGCCUUGCAUAUACAUGCAAACUACUUACUCCGUUUUUAAAUAUAAGUCUUUAAAGAGGUUUCAUGAAUGAACUACAUAUGGAUGUAUAUAGACAUAUUUUAGAGUGUAGAUUCACUUAUUUUGCUUCUAUAUGUAAACUCCUAAUGAAAUAUCUUAAAAGACUUAUAUUUAGGAACGGAGGGAGUAUAUGUUUAACAAGAUCAUUGGGCGCGGACCGCGGAGGUAGCGUAUUUCCACGAGCCAGCCGGUGACGACGAUGUAGAAGCUUCUUUCAGGGCCCCCCGUCCAUGCGCUGUGCAAGUACAAGUCUGACCGACGUGAGGCGCUGUACCAAACGAAGCGUAGCAAGUACAGCCAGAAUCAUCUGAAGCUUAGCAGCCAGCGGCCGCCGGCCGUUACCUGCAGCAUGCAUGUGACUGCACACUACGCCAAGAAGUCCGCGGCUAUAGACAACGCUCUGAAAAUAACUCUUUUGCACAGACGCGUGGAAUUCCGUGGUGGCCCGUCGGAUUUUCCCCCCGCAAAUAAAGAUCGCGCGCGCAACGUGGAACAGCUGGAUAGGGUAGCACGAGCCACGAACGGUGCAUCGUCAGCGCAUUUCCCUGCGCUGCACCCGAGCUGAGCAGCUAUAAAUUGAGCUGCAAGCCCAGCAGCUUCAUCACACAGGCGUCUUGCAUAGCUCUCCUUGCGCUAUACUACAUUUCACGAGCCGACUAGCUGAAGGUGAGUUAGCAUGGCGAGGCCUGCUGCCCUCGCGGUGUGCGCCGCCGCGCUCCUGCUCGCCGUGGCGGUGGGCGGCGCCGCGGCGCAGGGCGUGGGCUCGGUCAUCACGCGGUCGGUGUACGCGAGCAUGCUGCCCAACCGCGACAACUCGCUGUGCCCGGCCAGGGGGUUCUACACGUACGACGCCUUCAUCGCCGCAGCCAACACCUUUCCGGGCUUCGGCACCACCGGCAGCGCCGAUGACAUCAAGCGCGAGCUCGCCGCCUUCUUCGGCCAGACCUCCCACGAGACCACCGGUACGUCAGUCAGAGAGUGUUAAUUACUUGUUUUCGAUUGUUGCUUUCAACAGAAUUCGUGGAACUUUUGAUUCGGAUAUGAAGGGCUUGAUUGAAUCGUGUACGUGCUUGUGCAUGCCGUGUCGACGUGUAGGAGGGACGAGAGGCGCCGCCGACCAGUUCCAAUGGGGCUACUGCUUCAAGGAAGAGAUAAGCAAGGCCACGUCUCCACCCUACUAUGGACGGGGACCCAUCCAAUUGACAGGGUAAGCAAAAUCCCAUGUUAUGGCCUAUAUGGCUACAUGACAAUCUCUAAAGCAUCUUCCACAUGAAAAACAAGUAUAUUGGUCAACACUGAUAUCACAGACUGAAAUAAUCGGUAGAAAAAAUCUACUUGAAAAGUACAGCAGUGUAGUUGACAUUCUAGCUAGCCGCGCUAAUCCCGACCUGAUCCAAAUAAGCUUUCGCUUUCGCGUGCAAUAUACAGUUAUUAAUAACAAUAUAAAUACUACCAGGCUUCGGCGAUGAGAUUGUUCUGAUGAACCUAUAACUCUUCCUCGUGUGAUUGACCAGGCGGUCCAACUACGAUCUCGCCGGGAGAGCGAUCGGGAAGGACCUUGUGAGCAACCCGGAUCUGGUGUCCACGGACGCGGUGGUGUCCUUCAGGACGGCGAUGUGGUUCUGGAUGACGGCGCAGGGCAACAAGCCGUCGAGCCACAACGUCGCCCUACGCCGCUGGACGCCGACGGCCGCCGACACCGCUGCCGGUCGGGUUCCAGGCUACGGUGUAAUCACCAAUAUCAUCAACGGCGGGCUCGAGUGCGGCAUGGGCCGGAACGACGCCAACGUCGAUCGCAUCGGCUACUACACGCGCUACUGCGGCAUGCUCGGCACGGCCACCGGGGGCAACCUCGACUGCUACACCCAACGGAACUUCGCUAGCUAGAAGUAUCCACGUCUGACGCCCAUCACAGUGUAUGCACGUGUUACGAAUAAAUGGCAAUACCGUACAUAUGCCAUCGUGGAAUAAGGAAUUCAACAUUUCAUCUAGUUGAUGGUGUCGUGUGGUAAUACGAGAGUCGUCGUAACAGAUUAUGUAAAGUGUUCAAUAAAAUCAUGCUGUAUCAACUGUUUUGUUUUGUUGUACACAAGGCGAAUGUAUAACAGGGAGGCCGUUGUGAUAGCUGUUGUUGCAUGUCCAAACCAUUGCAUGAUUUAAAGAUUAAAAGAUAAACAUGACACAAAGGAUGUAACAUAUUUACUACUUCGAUCAAGCCAUUCUCUUUUUCCGAUAAGAGGAUAGCCGGUGUCCGCAUCACCAUGAUACACAUAAUCAUAUAAUUUGUUUAAGUAUAAACAUCUAAAAAAAUGUCUCAGUAGCAAAGAAAAAUAAAAAUGAUAGGACAAUAAAAAAGUUCUUCUCGACGCGAAUUUUUUUAGUCUGACUAAUGAAUUAGGAUUUCAUUAGCGUGAUUUACCUACCAUGAGAAAUUUGAGAGUUCCGACGAAUUUGAGAGUUCAAAUUCCGUUCGUUGUUGUGCUUAGUGCCAGCUGUCAACUGGAUCCUUUUCCUGACAACAAUCGUCAUGCCCGUAGGGGCAUUUAUGUCUUAUCAUGUUGGAUUGCCCUCGCUAUAAAUAGGCCCCCUCCCACAACCAUUAGUUGGUUGGCUGCUCCGAGAGAGAGAGAGAUCAACAAGUGUCAUCUAGAGCAACCCUUCCUUUGACAACUUUGAGAGAAUCCAAAGUGAGGAAAAACCCACAAACCAAGUGUUUCAAAGUGAUUGAGCAUCACUAAAUAAGUUGUCAUUUGUGCAACUGACACAUGCUACCUUUGAAGACUAUGUAUCUUCAAGACGGUUAGGUGUCAUGGUCUAGAGUAUCCAAGACCCAUUUUGAAUUGCCGGGUGACCAAGUCUAUGACUGAAGACUUACCACGAGUGAUUGGCCGGAUUUAAGUGACUUGAGUUUAAGGAGAAUACAGUGAAGACUUGGUGUCUUCUGGUUUCAGUUCCACGGGGCUCCAACCAGACGUACAACUGUCACGGCAGUUGGAAUUGGUAAGACAAAUCUUGUGUCUUCGGCGAGCAAUCUGGUUCUAUGUCCUCAAUGUUUUCAUUUCUUCAUUCUUACAUUGAUAAAAUUGCUUCCUGUUCUGUCAAGACUUUGUUAGGGCAUAUUUUGUUCUAAGUAGUUUUGGUGAUUGAUGACAACACCUCUGCAGACUAAUCGUGUGCAUUGAGCAUUUCAUAUAAUACUUCACAUGGCACAAGAUGUUUCGUCGCCCCUCGGUGUUGUUGGAGGACGAUGUUUCCUACGGUUCUCUUUGGUAGUGUUGAGUAGUAGGAAAGUCAUACUAUUAAGAGGGGGUCCGCGUCGGAAAGGUUUGGGUGGAAUCAACUCACACACGCGCUCAUUUUCUUUCCACCACCUUCUCUUUGCGGCAAUGGAGCACCUGCUUGGUCUAUCCUUGCAUUUGCAAAGGGUCCAGCGGUAGUACCGCUCAAGCUGAGCGGUAGUACCGCUCGCUAGCGGUAGUACCGCUCCAGAUGAGCGGUAGUACCGCUAGCUGAGCAGUAGUACCGCUCCAGUCGAGCGGUAGUACCUCUUAGGGACGGUAGUACCUCCCUCUCUGAGCGGUUGUACUUCGUCGGACUUUUUGCGAAUACUUUUCCAGUGGUGCUAGGAUCAGUAGUAGUAUUCCUACUACCGUGGCUUUGAGUCUGCCUAGCGGUAGUACCGCCCAGGUCUGGCGGUAGUACCGCUGGGGCUUGCGGUAGUACCGCUCCCUCCAGGCGGUAGUACCGCUAGGGACAGCGGUAGUACCGCUUCCCCCAAGCGGCAGUACCGCUAGGGGCGUGCUGACAGUGGGGGUAACGUUUGGACUUGUUCUCCCACUAUAUAAAGGGUUCACCUACCUCACGAACCCUACCUUUGACCCUCCAAACUCCAUUGUUGCUCCCUAAGCUCAUAUGUGCCCGAUCUCUCUCCCUAGCCAAUCAAACUUGUUGAUUUCCUAGGGAUUGGUUGAGAAGGCCAAGAUCUACACUUCCGCCAAGAGAAAAUUGAUUCCCCCACUAAUCCCUUGCGGAUCUUGUUACUCUUGGGUGUUUGAGCACCCUAGACGGUUGAGGUCACCUCGGAGCCACAUUCCAUUGUGGUGAAGCUCCGUGGUCUUGUUGGGAGCCUCCAAGCUUUGUGUGGAGAUAACCCCAACCUUGUUUGUAAAGGUUCAGUCGCCGCCUUCAAGGGCACCCAUAGUGGAAUCGCGGUACCUUGCAUUGUGUGAGGGCGUGAGGAGAAUACGGUGGCCCUAGUGGCUUAUUGGGGAGCAUUGUGCCUCCACACCGCUCCAACGGAGACGUACUUCCUGUCAAUGGGAAGGAACUUCGGUAACACAUCCUCAUCUUCAUCGGUUCCUCUUGCGGUUAUCUCUUACCUUUACAUUGUGUAUACUAUUGUUGAAGAGUAUUUCUUACUUGCUUUAGUGGUCAUAGUCGGUAGCAUCAUAUAGGUUGCUCACCUAGUUGUUAUUAUAGAGAACCUUUAUGGUGCUAACCCUAACUUGUUAAGAAAAGCUAAAAAUUGGUAGUUGCCUAUUCACCCCCCUCUAGUCAACCAUAUGGAUCCUUUCAAUUGGUAUCAGAGCCACGUAUCAGAGCCACGUCUCUUUAUUAAGGGUUUCACCACCCGAAGAGUAUGGAUGACGGUGAGGAGGGUGUCCAUGGACCACCCGAGGCCGUGGCCUUCAUUUCGGUCACAAGGGACGACUUGGAUGCGGCUAUGGCCAACCUCCGGACGACCUUGACGAACGAAUUCAAGACCAUGUUUAAAGAGUUGCUUGAGGGGAUUAAAAGUUCUCCCGAACCAGCGUUGGUGGUUAAAUCUGCCAACACGGAAUCGGAGGCAAAUUCCUCCAAGGAAGCGGCUAAAGGUAUGCAACCUUCUUCCCCUCUCGACAAUAAUGGGACUCGAACCUAUGCCUAUGUUCCACCUCCCCUGGUCUAUGGAGGACCGAUUCCUACAUUGAGUAUCAAUCAUCUUGGUCCUCUCCUAAGAUUGUUAAGGGUGAGUUUGCUAACUGGGUGUUUUGCAUUAAGUAUCAUUUGAUUCACAACUCAACAAACUUAUGGAGAAUCAUUGAGCAAGGUUACUAUCCGCAUGACCCAAGCAACCUCACUCCAAGAGAAGAAGCGGACAAUCAAUAUAAUCACCCUGCAUUAUUCAUUCUCCAGUCCGCAGUGCCUCCUGAAGAUCUUCCUCACUUACUGAAAGGACGUGGAUGUCGCCUAGAGGGNNNNNNNNNNNNNNNNNNNNNNNNNNNNNNNNNNNNNNNNNNNNNNNNNNNNNNNNNNNNNNNNNNNNNNNNNNNNNNNNNNNNNNNNNNNNNNNNNNNNNNNNNNNNNNNNNNNNNNNNNNNNNNNNNNNNNNNNNNNNNNNNNNNNNNNNNNNNNNNNNNNNNNNNNNNNNNNNNNNNNNNNNNNNNNNNNNNNNNNNNNNNNNNNNNNNNNNNNNNNNNNNNNNNNNNNNNNNNNNNNNNNNNNNNNNNNNNNNNNNNNNNNNNNNNNNNNNNNNNNNNNNNNCCUAGAGGGGGGGGGGGGCGGUCACCGAUACCCGUACAAAUUGCUCGGGGCAAUCUCCAUAACCUAAUUGGAGACCCCGACGCUUGGCCGGAGCUUUACACCACAAUAAUUGAGCUCCGAGACACCACCAAGCUUCUAGGGCGCCAAAGCAUCCAUGAAGAACAAUAUCUAGGGUACUAAGUACCAAAGAUAAUAAGCUUCUCAAACUUCACUUCCACGUAUCACCAUGGAGAACUCAAACGAUGCAACUAAUGCAAUGGUAAGGGCACACGGAGUGCCCAAGUCCUUCUCUCCCAAAUCCCACCAAAACAACUAAUUCUACGGAGGAGAAUGAGAGGAAGAACGAAGAAGAACAUGAAGAAUUCCAAGAUCUAGACCCAAGGGGUUCCCCUCACUUAGAGGAGAAAGUGAUUGGUGGAAAUGUGGAUCUAGAUCUUCUCUCUCUUUUCCCUCAAGAACUAGCAAGAAUAAUUGGAGGGAUUGAGAGUUAGAAAGCUCGAAGAAGGUCAACAAUGGCGGAAGAACACGAGCUAAAGAGAUAAGGUUUAAUGGGGAAGAGGACCCCCUUUUAUAGGUGGGGAAAAAUCCAACCGUUAAGCCUCACAACCCGCACACAGCGGUACUACCGCUCAUGGGAGCGGUACUACCGCUCGGUAGGUUCACCAACCAUGCUGAGGCCAAAAAGGAUGCAAAAAACAGUCCGACGGAGCGGUACUACCGUUCCUGGAGCUGUACUACCGCUAGGGAGCGGUAGUAAAAAAUUACUACCGCUCCGGGGGCGGUACUACCUCUUCGGGGGCGGUACUACCGCUACAGGAGCGGUACUACCGCUCGAUACUGAAACUGCUAUAACUUUCACAUGUGGACUCCAAAUUCAACGAAACCAAGUUUGUUGAAAAGAUAACGUCAUGGGCUAACACAAUCUUGAUAGAAAUAUCAAGAAGAAGCAAGUGAGAAAAGUCCCAUAAGACAAUGGUGAGAACCCUUCUUCGAAUAAGACCGGUAAAAACUCCCAACAUCGAAAACAUCAUAGAAGAUGCAUAUGGACUCCGUUUUCGAUGAACUCGAGCUUGUCAUGAAGAUGACCAUAAGCUCUAAAACUCACAAAGAGAAAUACCAAACAAGAACCAAAAAGUAUGAUGCAAGGAUGCAAAUGGUUUGAGCUCUCAACAAAUGAUAUGAUCAAGCUACUCACUUGAGAGCCCCCCUUGACAGUACGACAAUCUAUCAUAAAACAGAAAACCUACCAAGGGCAAACCUAUACCUUGCACCUCGUCCUCUUGAGCUAGAUGACGAGGAUCUUGGCUUCCUCAAGAUGGACCACCUUUCUUGCUUGCGUUGGCUUGAUGAAGACUAGUUGAUUGCUCCCCUAUACACACUAUGGGUGAGCCGCUCUUCAGCAUAUCUUCACAAGUCCAUUGCCACCAUCCUCCAUCACUUGACGUCAUCCUCCAUGGGUUGUAUGAGAUAUUACUCUUGCUUGCGUUGGCUUGAUGAAGACUAGUUGAUUGCUCCCCCAUACACACUAUGGGUGAGCCGCUCUUCAGCAUAUCUUCACAAGUCCAUUGCCACCAUCCUCCGUCACUUGACGUCAUCCUCCAUGGGUUGUAUGAGAUAUUCCUCUUGACGCAAGCCCAUGGAAACACACCUAACCCCACAUAUAAUUCUCAAUAAGACCAUGGGUUAGUACACAAAUACAUACUGGACAAUGCUUACCAUACCAUGGGAUCACUUGAUCCCUCUCAGUACAUCUUGUACGCUUUGUGUGUUGAUCAUCUUGAUUUACUCUUUGUCUGACGAUCUUGAUCAACCUUGUGUCUCCAUGACCAUUCUUUGGAUAAUACCUUGAAGACCACCUUGGUCAUCAUAUAAACUCCUUGAACCCAACAGAUGGACUUCAAGAAGUGCCUAUGGACAAAUCCUAUAAAUAUAACUUAAGGCAACCAUUAGUCCAUAGGAAUUGUCAUCAAUUACCAAAACCACAUAUGGAGAUAUAUGCUCUAACAAUCUCCCCCAUUUUGGUAAUUGAUGACAACCACUUCAAGAGAGUUUAUAUAAGUAAAUAAGCAUAACCAAGCGCACACAUACAAAGCAAUAAUGCAUGCGUGCGGGAUGUAAAUGCCUACGCAAUAAAAGCAAAACGCUCUAAACAUAUCCAAACUAAACUCUCUAAACUUCUCCCCCAUUGGCAUCGAUUGCCAAAAUGGACGAAAAGUUUAGAAAUUCAAUAUAGUAGGUGGUCCUCUAAAAAGUGUGUACUUCUCAGCAAAUGAGUGCAAAUAAAUACGCAAAUACAAUGAUAAGUAGUUGGAGGAAAACAAACUAUAUUGAGGACCCAAAUAUUGCAAAAAGAAGGAUCAUAUGGCACAAAGACAUACAAAAUAGAAGCAAGCAAUCAAAAGAUACCAUAUGGAACAAACAAACACAUGGUCCUUCGAACCACAUGAAUAAAAGAUACUAUGAUAAAGGCAAAGGAGUGUUUUUAUCAAAACUAGAGAAGCUCCCCGUGAUUUGUGCACUAAUAAGAGAUUUUUUAUUUGAUACAAGUGCACAAAAUAGGAUCGUUGCUCCCCUAAAAUUAAUAAACACACACAACGAGUGCAAGAAGAUAGAUGAGACAAUAAGCAUAUCACUUGCACAAAACAAAUGGUUGAGCAACAUGUAAAAGAAGCAACUUAAGAAUAGGCUCAACCAAAAUAAUGUGUGUGAGUCAUGGCAAAGCACUUGAGAUGACUAAGAUAAGGAUGAACAUUACUCAUCAACAUAGUCUUGAUGAAAUGAUAAACAAAGUGCAAGACAUAUCAUUCCCACACACACAUACUAGAAAAUGGGUUCACAAGCUUACUAAUAAAAAAAAAGAACCAAUGCUUGUGACAAUGUAGUGCCCCAAGUGUAAACCUUUCCCUUUUUCUAACCUUCCAUGUGGGACNUGCAAUAUUUGGUGAUUUGUAGAGUGUCCUAGAGGUGCAAGAGAUCACAAAACAGAUAAUACAAAUGCUGUUUUGUAAUUAAUUUAAUUGCUCCAAAAAUACCAUUUGUAUUUUAUUUAAAUAGGAUAAUUAUUUUCAUGACCAGGAACAUUUUUAGAUUGAUUUUACCCACCACAGUUAGCACUGUGUAUUAUUUUCUGUCUCUGGUUUCUUUUAUUAGGGAAACAGUCCAGAGGGUCUUUUUCUAAUCUAGCGCACUUGUUGGGCCUCCUCCCAUCUAGUCAGCGCCUGCUUCUCCCUUGCCUCUCGCAGCCCAGUGGAUGUCCUGUAGACGGCACCCCUGUUUGCUUCCCCCUCCGUCAGUGUUCCUCUCCAACAGGUUCAGAGCAACGGCAACCUCACGGCGUCACGGACGUCGAGGAACGUUCCUCGACCCUCCCCUCCAUAAAAGGGACCCCCCUUGGCGUCCGUGCAAUAGGGUUUCCCCUCUCGCGCCGCCACCUCCAUUCCCUCUCCAUCUCUCUCUGUGACGAAGCACCCCAGGUACGGGGAGGGCUCCUCCGCCAUGGCCGUGGGUUGAGGUGCUCCUCGCCGCCGUGUACGAGCCUCUUCUUCCUCCCCGACGACUCGGCGAGCACGCGGGCACAUCCAGGGGUCCAUCCCCGCGGCAAGGUCGACCCGAGCACCCCUGCAUCCUCUUCUCCACGACGGCGACAACCUUCCCCGACUAGCAGACCAGAUCGACGGCCACCUCUUCUUCCCCUGCUUCCUCUCCGUCGCGGCCGAGUUCUUCUUCCCUUGGGUGAGCAGAUCCAUCUCUUACCCCUUCCGUGUUGUAGUUCAUCGAGUAGGAGCCUUAGAACUCCGAUGAGAUGCUUCCCUAUCACCGGCGCCGCCGCGCACCGUAGCUAGGUUGUUGUGAUUCGUCUCGGGCGGAGUUAGCAUAGGAAAUGGGUUCGUGGGAGCGUAGGCGUCCUCCCAUCCACGAGCCGUUGCUCGAUUUGGUCUGUGUCGCCGGCGGGACAGCUCCCCUGUUCCGGCCGCCGCGGCUCCCUUCUGUAUCUCAGAGGGGGAUGUUUAGAAGGGUUAGUGCCCUUUCUCUGUCAGACUUUUGGCCGUAGCGUAGUGGUAGUAGUAGUGGUGCCCUGUUGCCUGUUGGAGGGCAUGAGUUCGAACCCUCCCCUCGACAACCCUUUUUAUUCGUUUAAUUCCUUCGCCACAGUAGGGGCAGGGUAAGCCAUACCUUGUGAGCACCCCCUCUCUGGUCAAACCAGUGGCCGUAGCAGAGUGGUGGCUACCUUAUGGUGUGUGUGAUAGAGCAACAGGUCUAGGUUCGACCCCCAGCUCCUCCCUUUUUAUUUUUUUCCCUUGUUCUCUGUUAUUUUUUUUCCUUUGCUGUGUGUUUUUGCUGCUAGCAACAACAUUGCAAGUGCAUGUGAUUCAGUUUAUAUUAGGUUAGGUUUCAUUUUUGUUGUUGUGUCCUUGCUUGGUGCAUGUGAAGCUUAUAUGUGCAAUGUGGUAUGAUAAAGUGUGUGUGUAGGUUCACUAGUGUCUUGCUUAUGUGGAAUAGGUGAUAUGUUUUGUGUGCUUGUCUUGGGGUGCUGACGGUGUGAAGAACACACCCNNNNNNNNNNNNNNNNNNNNNNNNNNNNNNNNNNNNNNNNNNNNNNNNNNNNNNNNNNNNNNNNNNNNNNNNNNNNNNNNNNNNNNNNNNNNNNNNNNNNNNNNNNNNNNNNNNNNNNNNNNNNNNNNNNNNNNNNNNNNNNNNNNNNNNNNNNNNNNNNNNNNNNNNNNNNNNNNNNNNNNNNNNNNNNNNNNNNNNNNNNNNNNNNNNNNNNNNNNNNNNNNNNNNNNNNNNNNNNNNNNNNNNNNNNNNNNNNNNNNNNNNNNNNNNNNNNNNNNNNNNNNNNNNNNNNNNNNNNNNNNNNNNNNNNNNNNNNNNNNNNNNNNNNNNNNNNNNNNNNNNNNNNNNNNNNNNNNNNNNNNNNNNNNNNNNNNNNNNNNNNNNNNNNNNNNNNNNNNNNNNNNNNNNNNNNNNNNNNNNNNNNNNNNNNNNNNNNNNNNNNNNNNNNNNNNNNNNNNNNNNNNNNNNNNNNNNNNNNNNNNNNNNNNNNNNNNGCACAUGAGAUGUUGCACGAUUCACUAUGUUGGUUUUCCCUCCUAGUUUGUGAUCACUUCCUCCAAGCAAGUGCAUAUGUUCUAUACAUGGUUUUGGGGUAUAAAGAUCCCAGGAAUCCUUUGGUGAAAUCAUUUUUGCCAUUGGAACAUUUUUCUGGAAAAGUCAUAUUUACAUUUUCUUCUAAGUUUAGAGCUUGGUUCCAUGAAUUGUGAUGUGCUCUUGCAUUUGAUUCUUGGUUGUGUUAGUAGAGGGUUACCCCCUCUACCACAUGUUGGUUUCAAUUCAUGAUUUGGAAUCCAUGUGUGCAAGUUGUGCACAUCCUAAGUAGGCUUGUGACUGAAAUUCCAGCUUAGUGUUCACUAAGUCUGAGAAUCUGUUUAUAUUUUCUUCCCCUGUAGAUGAGGUGGUGCUGGUCAUUGUGUUGUGAGCUAGCCCUAGCUUCCAACUAUAAAGUUGGACCUGGUAUGUUUGUCUAGAUCCCUGUAAAAUUUCAUGUCAUUUGGAGACCUGUAGGUAUUGUUUUGACUGCUGUCAAAAAGCUUUAGAGCAAAGACAGAAAGUCAGGUGCAGGAAUUUUCGCUAAGUCCCUGAGAUCUGAUGGUUUUGGGAAAGUUUGCAGCCUUGUAUCUUCCUGUGCUUAAUUCCUUUUUGUGUGAUUCUUGCUUGUGCUGGUAGUAUUCUUGGCUAGCUACAGGCACAUAUGUUAUUUGUCAUAGUUGGGUAGUUGUAGGUGCUUUGCAUGUAGCUCACAAAGUGCUAUGAUGCAGUUUAUGGCAGAUUGUGUAGUUUUGUCAUUUUGAAGUUUGUGAGUGCUUAGUUGAUGUUGUGGUGUUCUUCUUUGCUCCAGCCCAUCCAUGAUGGAUUGUUUUAUGUCUUGGCAACCUGGGAAUACCAGAUUUGUGCCAUUUGAGUGUGUGGUGAAGAUUUUGACACGUAGGGCUUCAUAUCUUGUUUCGUUGAUUCCCGUUGAUCCGUAGCUCCGAUUGUAUUGUUCUUUAUAUGGUUUUGCAUUGAUUUCUCGAGACGCAUCUGAUCAUGUCAUUCUCAUGCAUGUCAAAAUAUCUUAGGUUACAGUUCUGUCAAGGAACUUGCAUUAGCUUCUUUUGCUUGUGCUAGUGAUAGAAAUUAGUGAUGCAUGCUCAUAUUCAUCUCAUGCAUCAUGUGCUUGUUGCAUCUUGAGGUGCUGUUGUUGAUUGGAUGUUAUUCUUAUGUUGGGUAGCACCGGUAUCGGAGAACAAAUACGUGGAGUCAGCAGAGUACGUGCAUGACGAUCAAGAACCAUUCCAAGCCGAGGAUAUCACAGGCAAGAUGAUAUGACCUUGAUUCCAUCUCUAGACUUGUUAUGCUAGUUUGCGUUGCCAUGUCAUAUUGCUCGCUGCCUACCACUUAAAUAAUUGCCUCUUGAUAUGCCAUGAACCCUUACACUGAUCCCUUCCUAGCAAACUUGAAUGGCUAAGCAGGCUUUGCUCAGCUACUAAUGUUAGCGUUACUAGAUGCACGUGCUUUGUCUCAUGUGAAAACAUGAGCUUGAUAUCAUUAUCUUAAAUUCUGUUAUGUAAUUAAUGCACCUAUAUACUUGGUAAAUGACGGAAGGCCUUGCCUUUUGCCGGGUGCUUUGUUCGGUUAUUGCCGCCAUAGUUACCGGCUACCGGUGUUUGGUUCCAUAAUGAUCGCUCCUAACACGUUCGGGGUUGUUAUGGGGACCCCCUCGAUAAAUCGCGUAGUGCUAAGGCUUGUCCGGCAGGACCCAACAUUGGUGUUAAUUUGCUAAUCACUUAAUAAUAAACUGCAUAGGAAAUAGCUACUCGAGGAUUUUAAUCAACAACCCGGGCCAGUGCUACUCAUAAGUGUUGGCCAACCUAGAGCAACUUAUUACGCUCGCCAGGGCAACUCGGUGUUUUGGCAUGGUAACCAUCGCUCAUCCGGCAUGUCCUGAGACUGAGAUACGCGGCUCUUAUCACGGUCGUCGACACGUCGGGAGGUCCUGCUAGCCUCGCCUCACCUUAGCGAUAUAUCCCGCGUAUAGGAAUCCCAGUGAAGCUUUGGUUUUCCCCAGAGUUGAGGUUUUCCUCUAAGGAAUCGGAUGAGAUCACGAGAUUCGUGAUAGAGGAUUACUUUGCGGCCUGUGUACGUUUGUGAUGGACUAGUUGGAGCAGCCCUCCAGGGUUUAAUCUUUCGGAAAGCCGUGCCCGUGGUUAAGUGGCAACUUGGAAUAUUUUGUUAACACCCGGUAUUAGAUAAAUUAAAAAUAAGCUAAUAAAAUUUGCCAACGGUGUGCGUAACCGUGACUGUCCCCUCGAAGACCUCUCUUCGAUCGGGAACAUGGUGGGAUUUUGAACGACGUAGGUAGGUGUUCAGGAUCACUUAGUGAUCAAGUAUUCACGACCGCUAGUAUAGACCACCUUCAUAAAUGUUCUACGUAAGUUAGCCACUAAAUCAAGCUUAGGAUGCUGAAACCUUAAACACUUCACAUUACCCUACCUAAUAACUUGACUAGUUCUGCCACCAAGGUCUUAGAUUGCUGAGUCCCCGUGGCUCACGGAUUCCUCCACAAUACCAACAGGUUCAGGUACCCCAGAGACAGAUGAUCCCGACGGCACGCAGCUGGCGUGGCAGUACGAUGAGGAGACAUACCACCUGUACGUGAACUAUCCAGAAGAUUGAGGUGUGGUUGUGAUCGUGGGCCUGCAGGCAGGGUAGCAUAGCCUUUCUAUGUUUUGUAGUCCGUAGCGGAACUACCUUGGUUGUAUGUGUGAUGUACUCUGAGAUAUUUAUGAGAAGGCAAUUGAAUCCCUGAUUGUCUAUCUUUAUUAUUAUGUAUGUGAUGUGUUACCUGUUUGCGAGACGCUUAGAUGCGCUCCUUUCCAAUUCGGGGCCUCGAUCCCCAGAUUGGAAAGGACCGCAUCUUGGUCGUUACAAGUUGGUAAUCAGAGCCUUACGACCAUAGGAGUCUUUGUGUGAUCGUACUUGGCCGAGUUGAGUCUAGAAAAUGUUUUGCGUCUUAGUUAUAUCGGAGAGUAGGAUUCUUUUUUCUCCUCUUCUAUGCUCUGGUCAGGUUCCCAUCUUAGGAAAUCUUUAACUCUACUCCUUUUCUCGCUCAAUUUUUUUUUAGGAUCACGCGGGUAUUUGUGAAAUCUAUAUGAUUUCGAUGUGACAGAAUCCUGUCCUGGUGCCUCCUAUCUGCUCUAAGUUUCAGGGGAGUUGAGCUCCGGGGGAUUCUUGCGCACAUCGCCAUCAUUCAGAUUUCUGAGUAUCUAAGAAUGAAGGAUGUUCGUUAUUGCUUCAAUACUGGUAGUGGUGAGAUAACCCCGAUGUCCCCAGUACUGGUGCAGAUUGUUCGGGGGUACUACGACACUUGGUAUCGUUGUGAUCACGAGGAUCUGUUGUAGAUGAAGGUCCGAGAUGCUGGUUGUGUGUUGAAGGAUGUGAUACAGGUGACGGGUUAGUUUAGGAGUUGUGUGAAAUACUCCUUGUAUCCGUGUACCAGAUUGCAUGACCAGUUAUUUCGAGAAUUCAUAGGUGGGAUAUCAAGUAGUAUCUUAUAGGACUAUCUUCCUACAGAUGCUUGAUUGAGGUUUGGGGAAUCUCGAUCAUAUGUUUGUUCCGAGCAAUUCUAGCUCACACUUGUUUGCAGUGGUCCUUAUCGGAAUUUUGUCGUCCGUCACUUUGAGGAUGCAUUCUUGCUAUGUUGUUCAAGGGCAAUUGCUAAAUUCUGUUCAGAUCUUUCUUUUGAUUCAGCAAUAUCUUCAAUUAUUUUGUGGACUAAUAUGCUGUCCGUCUUCAGGAUGGCUCCACCGACUCGUCAGAACCCAGGGCGUGAGGAUAUGCCGCCUCCACCACCUCCUCCCCCUCCGUCGCCGCCGCCUCCUCCUGCAGAGGCCUGGCAAGCGAUGAUGGCAGCUACUAAUGCAAACACCCAGAUGCUGAUUCAGUUGUUGCAAGAGAGAGCCAACCAACAGCCAGGCAAUUUUCAACAUGGUGGAAAUCAGUUUGCGAGUCUGAGUGAGUUUCUGUCGAACCAGCCAAAGACGCUCACUUCUUGCGACCAGCCAUUUGAUGCAGAAGAUUGGAUUCGUGAUAUGAACAAAAAUUUCGAGUGUAGCAAUGUGCGUCCGGAGGAUUAUGUCAAGUUUGCAACGUUUCAGUUGAAGGGGCAGGCUUCUAUCUGGUGGCAACAACUCAAAGACUCCAGAGGCGCUAGGGUGAUUUCGUGGGAUGACUUCUGUUGCGACUUCAGGUCCCACUACAUUCCUUCUAUUUUUGUGGAGGAGAUGCGUGAGAAGUUCAGGCGUUUGAAGCAGGGCGGCAAUUCCGUGUACAAGUACAAUGUCGAGUUCCACGACCUGGCCCGUUACGCGCUGCAGGAUAUCCCAGAUCAGAGGAGCAAGAUCUAUCAGUUCAGGGGUGGCUUGAAAGAAGACUUGCAGUUAGAUCUUGCCUUGCACGAUCCUGAGGAAUUCGACAAGUUCUACAACCUAGCUCUUAGAGCAAAGGCAACCUUGCUCAGGGUGGAAAAUUCCAAGAAGCGCUUCAGAGAUUCCAGCUCUUCCUCGACUCAGGUGGUUCAGAAGCAACAUAGGUUUUGGGUUUCUCCUCCUCCUCCUCGGCACUCACAGCAGCUGAAGCACUCAGGUGGUCGUGGCUCUUCCCACCCACCCAACCCUGGGUUCCAGCAGAGAUACCAGCAUCAGAAGCAAGGGCCUCCUCACACUCAGUACCGGCAGCAAGCAGAUGUCACUUGUCACAAAUGUGGGCAGAAGGGUCACUAUGCCAACAAAUGUACUUCUCAGCUCCGACUGCCGCCUCCUCCUCCAUGCAAACCUCCAAGCAAUGCUCUUGUCAAGUUCAACCCCAGAUCAGCUCGAGUCAACUUGGUGAACGCAAUUGAAGCAGACAACUCCUCUGAUGUGAUCAUGGGUAACCUCCUCGUCAAUGAUAUUCCUGCUAAAGUGUUAUUUGAUUCUGGUGCAUCGCAUUGCUUCAUCUCCAAGCCUUUCAUAGCUAAGCAUGAUAUUCCUGCAAUUCAUUUGGAUAGUCCCUUCCGUGUGGUUUCUCCGGGCAUGCGCAUGAGUUCGCACAUGAGGGUUCCGGAUGCUUCUGUCAAGAUAGGCAGUUAUUCUUUUCUGGCGUCUCCUAUUGUCUUGGGCAAUUCCGACAUCGACUUGAUUCUUGGUAUGGACUGGCUGGCCAUGAACGAGGCGUCAAUUGAUUGUGAAGCCAAAGAAGUGAAGCUUACCCACUCUUCGGAAGACGUGAUUAUAUUCGCGGCUCGCGAUGAUACAAUCCGUCUGUUCUCCUUGAAUGAAAAGGGUGAGAUCAAUCCUAUUGAGCAAGUCCCAGUGGUCUGUAAAUAUCAAGAUGUGUUUCCUGAAGAGCUUCCAGGCAUGCCUCCGCACCGUGAAGUUGAGUUUGUCAUUGAGCUUGAGCCAGGCACAGAGCCAGUGUGCAAACGGCCGUACAAGCUGGGUCCAGAAGAAUUGAAGGAACUUAAGAGGCAACUCGAUGAGCAGGAGCGUUUGGGUUUGAUCAGACCGAGCUCGUCUCCGUGGGGUAGUGGUGUUCUGUUUGUCAAGAAGAAGGAUGGCACGGACCGGCUGUGUGUCGAUUACCGUCCAUUGAACAAGAAGACAAUCAGGAACAAAUAUCCACUUCCGAACAUAAUUGAGUUGUUCGAACAGUUGAAAGGUGCUAAAGUAUUCUCAGAAUGGGCUAUCAUCAAAUUCGCAUUCGCGAGGAAGACAUUCCGAAGACGGCCUUCAGGACUAGUUUUGGCUCGUAUGAGUAUACGGUCAUGUCUUUUGGUCUGGCAAAUGCUCCUCCGACAUUCUGUCGAUUGAUGAACUAUAUUUUCUCCCCAUACAAGAAUGAAUUUGGCUUGCUCUAUCUCGACGACAUUCUAGUCUUUUCUGAGACUGAGGAAGAACAUGAAGUACAUCUCAGGUUGGUGCUUGAUAAACUAACAGAGUACAAGCUGUAUGCAAAGUUUUCCAAGUGUGAGUUCUGGCUGAAAGAAGUGGUUUAUCUUGGGCAUAUUAUCUCUGCCAAGGGCAUUAAGGUUGAUCCGUCCAAGGUCCAAGCCAUUGUUGAAUGGGAGCCUCCGUAGAAUGUGAAGCAGCUUCGAAGCUUUCUCGGGCUUGCUGGAUAUUGCAGAAGGUUCGUUGAGAACUUCUCCAAGAUAUCCAAGCCGGUCUCAAGUCUUCUUCAGAAAGGUGUUAAGUAUGCUUGGUCUCCAGAGUGUCAACUCGCUUUCGAUACACUCAAAGAGAAGCUUAUCUCCACUCCGGUUUUGGCCCCUCCGGAUGAUUCCAAUCCGUACCAGGUCUUUUGCGAUGCUUCUCUCCAGGGUCUUGGUGCAGUCCUGAUGCAAGAUAAGAAGGUGGUUGCUUAUACCUCCAGGCAGUUGAAGCCUGUGGAGAAGAACUAUCCUGUGCAUGAUCUUGAGCUAGCAGCUGUGGUACACGCCUUGAUGACUUGGAGACAUCUCUUGUUGGAACGUAAGGUUGAAGUUUUCACCGAUCACAAGAGUCUCAAGUACAUCUUCACUCAGCCUAACUUGAAUAUUCGACAAACACGUUGGGUGGAAAUGCUCCAGGAUUUUAAUCCGAGUGUUGAGUACACGCCAGGCAAGGCAAAUGUCGUGGCGGAUGCAUUGAGCAGGAAGGUAUAUUGCAACAGUCUGAUUCUGCAACCUCUCCAGCCGGGUCUUUGUGAGUCUUUCAAAAAGCUCAACCUUCAGCUAGUACCUCAGGGAUUUCUUGCGAACCUUCAGAUCUCUCCUACCUUGGAAGAUCAGGUCAGAGCAGCUCAGCUUCUUGACGCUAUGGUGAAGAAGGUCAAGAUUGGCGUGGGAAAGAGUCUCCCCAAGUAUAAGUGCUUCACUGUUGAUGCCAGGAAGACGUUGUUUUUAUAGGAUCGCCUUGUCGUCCCGAAAGGUGAUCUCAGGAAGGUGAUCAUGGAAGAAGCUCAUAACUCUCUGCUCUCUAUUCAUCCUGGAAGCUCCAAAAUGUACCAUUACUUGAAGCAGACAUUCUGGUGGACUCGUAUGAAACGUGAGAUUGCUCAGUUCGUAAACGAGUGUGAUGUAUGUCAUAGGGUGAAAGCAGAACAUCAACGCCCAGCAGGCCUCUUGCAGCCUUUGCCGAUUCCCGAGUGGAAGCUUGAUCACAUUGAGAUGGAUUUCGUCACCGGGUUUCCAAAGUCCAAGAAGGGUAAUGAUGCUAUCUUCGUCGUCAUCGACAAGUUAGGUAAAGUGGCUCAUUUUCUUCCAGUCAAGGAGUCCAUUUCAGCAGCUCAGCUGGCAGAGUUGUACACCUCCAGGAUUGUCUCUUUGCACGGCGUACCUAUGAUGAUCUCGUCAGAUCGCAGAAGUAUCUUCACUUCCAAGUUCUGGGAUUCCUUUCAGUCUGCUAUGGGCACGAAGAUCCUCUUCAGCACAAUGUUCCAUCCUCAGACUAGUGGUCAAGUGGAGAGAGUGAAUCAAAUUCUUGAGGAUAUGUUGAGAGCCUGUGUUAUAUCUUUUGGCAUGAAGUGGGAAGAUUGUCCGCCUUUCGCGGAGUUCUCGUAUAACAACAGUUAUCAAGCUAGUUCUGGAAAGGCUCCGUUUGAGAUUCUCUAUGGUAGAAAGUGCCGUACUCCGCUCAACUGGUCCGAGACCGGCGAGCGUGAGAUCCUUGGCAAUGAUAUGAUAGAAGAAGCUGAGGAGAUGUGUCGGAUCAUUCGCGACAACCUUAGAGCAGCUCAGUCCCGUCAGAAGAGCUAUUAUGAUAGCAAGCACCGUGACAUGUCUUAUGAGCUUGAUGACUUUGUCUAUCUCAAGGUGUCGCCUAUGAAGGGUAUGCAGCGUUUUGGCAUCAAAGGCAAGCUUGCGCCUCGUUUCGUUGGUCCGUUCAGAGUGGUUGGCAAGAGAGGUGACCUUGCGUACCAGCUCGAGCUUCCGUCAACCUCUGCAAAUGUCCAUGAUGUGUUCCAUGUUUCUCAGCUUCGGAGGUGUUUCAAGACCCCCGAUCGCACUUUGCAUCUCCAAGACAUCGACCUUCACCGUGACCUUUCUUAUCGUGAGCAUCCAGUUGCGGUUCUCGAGGCGACUGAGCGCAAGACCCGUAACAAGUCUGUCAAAUUUCUCAAAGUGCAGUGGUCUCACCAUUCCGAUAAAGAGGCGACUUGGGAACGUGAGGAUCACCUCCGUUCCGAAUUUCCGGAAUUCUGUCAGGCGUAGAUCUCGGGGCGAGAUCUUUUUGUAGUGUGGGAGAAUUUGUAGUGCCCCAAGUGUAAAGCUUUCCCUUUUUGUAACCUUCCAUGUGGGACCACCUUGACAUUGAUAUGAGAGAGUCCUUUUGCAUGUAUGAUUUCAUGUGCCCCUUUUGUUCUUCCUUGCAUGCAUGCAUACCAUAUGUUUCUUGCCAUGUCUUGUCCUUGUGUUUGCUUGUGUUAUCAGGUGAUGAGUUGUGGUGUUUGUGAUCUUCUGGUUAUGUGGUGAUACUCAUGAGGUGUUGGAGUGUGUAGUAGUUGUGGUGGUUCUCACCUUCAAACCACUUUGGAUGGCAAAACCCUUUUCCUUCCUUUUAUAUCAUGUUCAAAAAUUACAUCUUCCCAAAAACUGUUUUAAAAUGUCUUGUGUUUAGAGUUUAUUGUGGAGAUGUUGGGGUGCAAUAUUUGGUGAUUUUUAGAGUGCCCUAGAGAUGCAAGAGAUCACAAAACAGAUAAUACAAAUGUUGUUUUGUAAUUAAUUUAAUUGCUCCAAAAAGACCGUUUGUAUUUUGUUUAAAUAGGAUAAUUAUUUUCAUGACCAAGGACAUUUUUAGAUAGAUUUUACCCACCACAGUUAGCACUGUGUCUAUUCUUUUCUGUCUUUGGGUUUCUUUUAUUAGGGAAACAGUCCAGAGGGUCUUUUCUUUAUCUGGCGCACUAGUUGGGCCUCCUCCCUUCUAGUCGGCCCGCUUCUCCCUUGCCUCUCACAGCCCAGUGGAUGUCCUGUAGACGGCGUCCCUGUUCGCUUCCCCCUCCCUCAGUGUUCCUCUCCAACAGGUUCCGAGCAACGGCGACCUGAGGGCGUCACGGACGUCGAGGAACGUUCCUCGUACCUCCCCUCCAUAAAAGGGACCCCCUUGGCGUCCGUGCAAUAGGGUUUCCCCUCUCGCGCCACCACCUCCAUUCCCUCUCCAUCUCUCUCUCUCUCACGAAGCACCCCAGGUAUGGGAAGGGCUCCUCCGCCAUGGCCGUGGGUUGAGGUGCUCCUCGCUGCCGUGUACGAGCCUCUUCUUCCUCCCCGACGACUCGGCGAGCACGCGGGCACAUCCAGGGGUCCAUCCCCGCAGCUAGGUCGACGCGAGUGCCCCUGCAUGCUGUUCUCCACGACGGCGACAACCUUCCCCGACGAGCAGACCAGAUCGACGGCCACCUCUUCUUCCCCUACUUCCUCUCCGUCGCGGCCGAGUUCUUCUUCCCUUGGGUGAGCAGAUCCAUCUCUUACCCCUUCCCUGUUGUAGUUCGUCGAGUAGGAGCCGUAGAACUCCGACGAGCUACUUCCCUGUCACUGGCGCCGCCGCGCCCCGUAGCUAGGUUGCUGUGAUUCGUCUCGGGCGGAAUUAGCAUAGGAAAUGGGUUCGUGGGAGCAUAGGCGUCCUCCCAUCCACGAGCCGUUGCUCGAUUUGGUCUGUGUCGCCGGCAGGACAGCUCCCCUGUUCCGGCCGCCGCGGCUCCCCUGUGUAUCUCAGAGGGGGAUGUUCAGAAGGGUUAGUGCCCCUUCUUUGUGAGACUUCUGGCCGUAGCGUAGUGGUAGUAGUAGUGGUGCCCUGUUGCCUGUUGGAGGGCAUGGGUUCGAACCCUCCCCUCGGCAACCCUUUUUAUUCGUUUAAUUCUUUCGCCACAGUAGGGGCAGGGUAAGCCAUACCUUGUGAGCACCCCCUACCUGGUCAAACCAGUGGUCGUAGCAGAGUGGUGGCUACCUUAUGCUGUGUGUGAUAGAGCAACAGGUCUGGGGUUCGACCCCCAGCACCUCCCUUUUUAUUUUUUCCCUUGUUCUCUGUUAUUUUUUUCCUUUGCUGUGUGUUUUUGCUGCUAGCAACAGCAUUGGAGGUGCAUGUGAUUCAGUUUAUAUUAGGCUAGGUUUCAUUUUUGUUGUUGUGUCCUUGCUUGGUGCAUGUGAAGCUUAUAUGUGUAAUGUGGUGUGAUAAAGUGUGUGUGUAGGUUCACUAGUGUCUUGCUUAUGUGGAAUAUGUGAUAUGUUUUGUGUGCUUGUCUUGGGGUGCUGAUGGUGUGAAGAACACACCCACAUGAACAUAGUUCAUGAACUCCCUAGUUGUGAGCAUGUGUAUGUGAUAUGGUGUUCCCAUCUUGUGUUACAUGUUUAGAGACCUACUUCUUGUGUUUUGAUCAAGAGCAUGUUGUAGCGUGAUGUGGAUUAGAUGUGUGUGUGAGAAGCAUUCCACCUUUGCAAGCAAGCUAUGCACCUUCACAUGACCAUAUGUGAGAGGGCAUGGUGUUUUGCUUGUGUGGAUAGCUUGGUAGAGGUGCUUGUGAUGUUGAUGUGUUAUGACACACAUACAUGGGGUAAAAACCCUCAUGUAACCAUUGGUGUUGUGCUCAUGAACAAGCAUCCAUGUAGGAGUUGAUCUAGUGAAUGCACAUGAGAUGUUGCACUAUUCACUAUGUUGUUUUCCCCUCCUAGUUUGUGAUCACUUGCUCCAAGCAAGUGCAUAUGUUUUAUACAUGGUUUUGGGGUAUAAAGAUCCCAGGAAUCCUUUGGUGAAAUCAUUUUUUCCAUUGGAAAAUUUUUCUGGAAAAGUCAUAUUUACAUUUUCUUCUAAGUUUAGAGCUUGGUACCAUGAAUUGUGAUGUGCUCUUGCAUUUGAUUCUUGGUUGUGGUAGUAGAGGGUUGCUCCCUCUACCACAUGUUGGUUUCAAUUCAUGAUUUGGAAUCCAUGUGUGCAAGUUGUGCCCAUCCUAAGUAGGCUUGUGACUGAAAUUCUAGCUUAGUGAAAAUCUGAGAUUUUCACUAAGUCUGAGAAUCUCUUUAUAUUUUCUUCCCCCGUAGAUGAGGUUGUUAUGGUCAUUGUGUUGUGAGCUAGCCCUAGCUUCCAACUAUAAAGUUGGACCUGAUAUGUUUGUCUAGCUCCCUGUAAAAUUUCAUGUCAUUUGGAGCCCUGUAGGUAUUGUUUUGACUGCUGUCAAAAACCUUCAGAGCAAAGACAGAAAGUCAGGUGCAGGAAUUUUGACUAAGUCCGUGAGAUCUGAUGGUUUUGGGAAAGUUUGCAGCCUUGUAUAUUCCUGUGCUUAAUUCCUUUUUGUGUGAUUCUUGCUUGUGCUGGUAAUAUUCUUGGCUAGCUACAGGCACAUAUAUUAUUUGUCAUAGUUGGAUAGUUGUAGGUGCUUUGCAUGUAGCUCACAAAGUGCUAUGAUGGUGUUUAUGGCAGAUUGUGUAGUUUUGUCAUUUUGAAGUUUGUGAGUGCUUAGUUGAUGUUGUGGUGUUCUUCUUUGCUCCACCCCAUCCAUGAUGGAUUGUUUUAUGUCUUGGCAACCUGGGAAUACCAGAUUUGUGCCAUUUGAGUGUGCGGUGAAGAUUUUGACACGUAGGGCUUCAUAUCUUGUUUCGUUGAUUCCCGUUGAUCCGUAACUCCGAUUGUAUUGUUCUUUAUAUGGUUUUGCAUCGAUUUCUCGAGAAGCAUCUGAUCAUGUAAUUCUCAUGCAUGUCAAAAUAGCUUAGGUUACAGUUCUGUCCAGGAACUUGCAUUAACUUCUUGUGCUUGUGCUAUUGAUAGAAAUUAGUGAUGCAUGCUCAUAUUCAUCUCAUGCAUCAUGUGCUUGUUGCAUCUUGAGGUGCUGUUGUUGAUUGGAUGUUAUUCUUAUGUUGGGUAGCACCGGGAUCGAAGAACGAAUACGUGGAGUCAGGAGAGUACGUGCAGGACGAUCAAGAACCAUUCCAAGCUGAGGAUAUCACAGGCAAGAUGAUAUGACCUUGAUUCCAUCUCUAGACUUGUUAUGCUAGUUUGCGUUGCCAUGUCAUAUUGAUCGCUGCCUACCACUGAAAUAAUUGCCUCUUGAUAUGCGAUGAACCCAUACAUUGAUCCCUUCCUAGCAAACUUGAAUGGCUAAGUAGGCUUUGCUCAGCUACUAAUGUUAGCGUUGCUAGAUGCAGGUGCUUUGUCUCAUGUGACAACAUGAGCUUGAUAUCAUUAUCUUAAAUUCUGUUAUGUAAUUAAUGCACCUAUAUACUUGGUAAAUGACGGAAGGCCUAGCCUUUUGCCGGAUGCUUUGUUCCGUUAUUGCCGCCAUAGUUACCGGCUACCGGUGUUUGAUUCCAUAAUGAUCGCUCCUAACACGUUCGGGGUUGUUAUGGGGACUCCCUCGAUAAAUCGCGUAGUGCUAAGGCUUGUCCUGCAGGACCCAACAUUGGUGUUAAUUUUCUAGUCACUUAAUAAUAAACUGCAUAGGGAAUAGCUCCCCCGAGGAUUUUAACCAACAACCCGGGCCAGUGCUCCUCAUGAGUGUUGGUCCAACCUAGAGCAGCUUAUUACGCUCCCUGGGGCAACUCGGUGUUUUGGCGUGGUAACCAUCGCUCAUCCGGUGUGUCCCGAGACUAAGAUACGCGACUCUUAUCAGGGUCGUCGACACGUCGGGAGGUCCUGCUAGCCUUGCCUUAACUUAGCGAUAUAUCCUGCGUAUAGGAAUCCCAGUGAAGCUUUGGUUUUCCCCAGAGUUGAGGUUUUCCUCUAAGGAAUCCGACGAGAUCACGAGAUUGAUGAUAGAGGAUUACUUUGCGGCCUGUGUACGUUUGUGAUGGACUAGUUGGAGCACCCCUGCAGGGUUUAAUCUUUCGGAAAGCCGUGCCCGCGGUUAUGUGGCAACUUGGAAUAUUUUGUUAACACCCGGUAUUAGAUAACUUAAACAUAAGCUAAUAAAAUUUGCCAACGGUGUGCGUAACCGUGACUGUCCCCUCGAAGACCUCUCUUCGAUCGGGAACACGGUGGGGUUUUGAAUGAUGUAGGUAGGUGUUCAGGAUCACUUAGUGAUCAAUUAUUCACGAUCGCUAGUAUAGACCACCUUCAUAAAUGUUCUACGUAAGUUAUCCACUAAAUCAAGCUUAGGAUGCUGCAACCUUAAACACUUCACCUUAUCCUACCUAAUAACUUGACUAGUUCUGGCACCAAGGUCUUAGAUUGCUGAGUCCCCGUGGCUCACGGAUCCCUCCACAAUACCAACAGGUUCAGGUACCCCAGAGACAGAUGAUCCCGACGGCACGCAGUUGGCGUGGCAGUACGAUGAGGAGACAGACCGCCUGUACGUGAACUAUCCAGAAGAUUAAGGCGUGGUCGUGAUCGUGGGCCUGUAGGCAGGGUAGCAUAGCCUUUCUAUGUUUUGUAGUCCGUAGCGGAACUACCUUGGUUGUAUGUGUGAUGUACUCUGAGAUAUUUAUGAGAAGGCAAUUGAAUCCCUGAUUGUCUAUCUUUAUUAUUAUGUAUGUGCUGUGUUACCUGUUUGCGAGACGCUUAGAUGCGCUCCUUUCCAAUUCAGGGCCUCGAUCCCCAGAUCAGAAAGGACCGCAUCUUGGUCGUUACAGACAACCCAUGGUAACCGCAUCUCCGCGAUCUCGUUAGCGUAUUCACACUCAUGACCUUCCAUUGUCUCAAUGGUGGCCUCAUGCUCCACGAGAUGAGCUUCCAACUCCUCAAUGUAUUUCUUGCCCUCAGUGGCAAUAGACAUUAUUUCCAAUAAGUUGGAACAAGCAAGUUUAUUCUUAUAAAGAGAUUUAAAAAUCAUUUCACCCUUAAUUUUUAAGGAUGCAAUAUUAUCACUGUCUUCAUCAUUAUUCUCAUCCCCAUUAUCAUCAACAUCAUCAUCAUGAGAUAUAUUGGGAUUCAAAGUAGGAGAUACGUUUGAAGCCUUAGCCAUAAGGCAAAAGUGAGUCACAAUAGAUGAUGAUGUAGGAUCCCUUGAAGCAUCAUUCAAGGCCACAUAUUGUUCCAUGGAGUGACGAGUUUCCUCUAUAUUGUUAGCACAACAACUCGAGGAAAUAUAUACAUUUUUAUCAUGGUAGCAAGAUAUAGGAAGCAUAUCAUCAUGAGAUUUAGUCAAGCAGUUUUUACAUGAUAUGCAAGGACUAUCAACACAAGCAUGUAAAACAUUUAGAGUGAUCGAAGUGUUAAUGCCCAAAGAUGUAGCAUUGCAAUAAUAUAGUGAUGAAGGAUCAUCAACAAUAAACCCACUAUCAUCAUUGCAAUGAUCACCACUAUUCACCAUAUCAUUACCUUGUGGCAAUCCACAUGUAGGCGAAGUAGAUGAAUUUGAGAAGACCACACGACCGGAGGUGGAGGGAGAACAAUCAUUCCCACAAAUCAUGGACAUACCAUAUUUAUCUUGAAGCUUUGUCCACAACUCAUGAGCAUCCCGGAAUGGCAUGAGUUGAAAUAUAACUACAUUGCUCAAAGCAUCAAAAAGCACAUUAGAAGCUUGAGCAUUGAGAUAAGAGUUUUUCUCAUCCUCUAAAGAUAUAUUUUGAGAAUCCUUUGAAGGAGAAAAACCCAUAUCAAAAUUCGCUCUAAAUUUGGGUCCAAGACCCGAAAGUGAUUAAGAAUGCGAAUUAACAAAACAUCAAAAUUUGUGCCAUCGAAACUAAGAGUGUCAGUGAAUCCUAAACCCCUAGUCGACAUCCUUACUCUCUAGGUGGUUAAACCUAAUUAAGAGAGACCUAGCUCUAAUACCAAUUGAAAGGACGUGGAUGUCGCCUAGAGGGGGGGGUGAAUAGGCGCUUUAAAAUAAUUAUGGUUUAGGCUUAAACAAAUGCGGAAUAAAACUAACGUUUAAUUUGUCAAGCACAAAACCUACAACUUAUGCUAAGCAAGAUAAACAACUAAGUGAUAGAAAGAUAUAUGACAAUAAACAAUAUGGCUAUCACAAAGUAAAGUGCGUAAGUAAAGGGUUCGAGUAAGAGAUAACCGAGGCACACGGAGACGAUGAUGUAUCCCGAAGUUCACACCCUUGCGGAUGCUAAUCUCUGUUGGAGCGGUGUGGAGGCAUAAUGCUCCCCAAGAUGCCACUAAGGCCACCGUAAUCUCCUCACGCUCUUGUACAAUGCAAGAUAUCGUGAUUCCACUAAGGGACCCUUGAGGGCGGUCACCAAACCCGUACAAAUGGCAAACCUUGGGGGCGGUUACUGAUACCCGUACAAAUUUCUCGGGGCAUCUCCACAACCUAAUUGGAGACCCCGAUGCUUGCUCGGAGCUUUACACCACAAUGAUUGAGCUCCGAGACACCACAAAGCUUCUAGGACGCCAAAGCAUCCACAAAGAACAAUAUCUAGGGUACUAAGAACCAAAGGUAAUAAGCUUCUCAAACUUCACUUCCACGUAUCACCGUGGAGAACUCAAUAGAUGCAACUAAUGCAAUGGCAAGGGCACACAGAGUGCCCAAGUCCUUCUCUCCCAAAUCCCACCAAAGCAACUAAUGCUAGGGAGGAAAAUGAGAGGAAGAAUGAAGAAGAACAUGAAGAACUCCAAGAUCUAGACCCAAGGGGUUCCCCUCAGUUAGAGGAGAAAGUGAUUGGUGGAAAUGUGGAUCUAGAUCUCCUCUCUCUUUUCCCUCAAGAACUAGCAAGAAUCAUUGGAGGGAUUGAGAGUUAGCAAGCUCGAAGAAGGUCAACAAUGGGGGAAGAACACGAGCUAAAGAGAUAAAGUUCAAUGGGGAAGAAGACCCCCUUGUAUAGGUGGGGAAAAAUCCAAUCGUUAAGCCUCACAACCCACACAGAGCGGUACUACCGCUCAUGGGAUCGGUACUACCGCUCGGUAGGUUCACCAACCAUGCUGAGGCAAAAAAGGAUGCAAAAAACAGUCCGACGGAGCAGUACUACCGCUCCUGGAGCGGUACUACCGUUAGGGAGCAGUAGUAAAAAAUUACUACCGCUCCGGUGGCGUACUACCUCUCCGGGGGCGGUACUACCGCUAGAGGAGCGGUACUACCGCUGGAUACUAAAACUGCUAUAACUUUCGCAUACGGACUCCGAAUUCAACGAAACCAAGUUUUUUUGGAAAGCUAACGACAUGGGCCAAAACAAUCUUGAUAGAAAUAUCAAUAAUAAGCAAGUGAGAAAAAUCCCAUAAGACAAUGGCUAGAACCCUUCUUCGAAUAAGACCGGUAAAAACUCCCAACAUCGAAAACAUCAUAGAAGAUGCAUAUGGAAUCCGUUUUCGAUGAACUCGAGCUUGUCAUGAAGAUGACCAUAAGCUCUAAAACUGAAAAAGAGAAAUACCAAACAAGAACCAAGAAGUAUGAUGCAAGGAUGCAAAUGGUUGGAGAUCUCAACGAACGAUGCGAUCAAGCUACUCACUUGAGACCCCCUUGAUAGUACGACAAUCUAUCCUAAAACAGAAAAGCUAUCAAGGGCAAACCUAUACCUUGCACCUCGUCCUCUUGGGCUAGAUGACGAUGAUCUUGGCUUCCUCAAGAUGGACCACAUUUCUUGCUUGCGUUGGCUUGAUGAAGACUAGUUGUUUGCUCCCCCAUACACACUAUGGGUGAUUCGCUCUUCAACAUAUCUUCACAAGUCCCUUGCCACCAUCCUUCAUCACUUGACGUCAUCCUCCAUGGGUUGUAUGAGAUAUUCCUCUUGCUUGCGUUGGCUUGAUGAAUACUAGUUGAUUCCUUCCCUAUACACACUAUGGGUGAGCCGGUCUUCAACAUAUCUUCACAAGUCCAUUGCCACCAUCCUCCAUCACUUGACGUCAUCCUCCAUGGGUUGUAUGAGAUAUUACUCUUGAUGCAAGCCCAUGGAAACACACCGAACCCCACAUAGAACUCUCAAGAAGACCAUGGGUUAGUACACAAAUACGUACUGGACAAUGCUUACCAUACCAUGGGAUCACUUGAUCCUUCUCGGUACAUCUUGUACGUUUUGUGUGUUGAUCAUCUUGAUUUCCUCUUUGUCUGACGAUCUUGAUCAACCUUGUGUCUCGAUGACCAUUCUUUGGAUAAUACCUUGAAUACCACCUUGGUCAUCAUAUAAACUCCUUGAACCCAACAUAUGGACUUCAAGAAGUGCCUAUGGACAAAUCCUAUAAAUAUAACUUAAGGCAACCAUUAGUCCAUAGGAAUUGUCAUAAAUUACCAAAACCACAUAUGGAGAUAUAUGCUCUAACACUUACACCCCUUCACUCGGGCUAAGGACUGUUGGGAGCACAUCAUGGUGUUGUACAAGGGAAGCUCAAGGAUUCAACGGUACAACUAUGAAGUGGUUCUUGAUGAGGCCGAUGAGUUUGUGAUGAAGGAAGAUGAGGACCAUCGAGAUCUCUAUCGAAGGGUGACUGCUAUUGCUGUUGCCCUCAAGGAUCAUGGAAGCAAGGAUGUGGAUGACACAUGGAUGAAGCGCAAGUUUCUCAAGGCCAUCAUGCCAUUCAACAAAACCAUGUCUUCCGUCAUUCGCCAAUGGCCAGAUUUCCACUCCUUGUCCUCCAGUGAGGUGUUGGAUGAAUUCAUUGUGAUGACUAUCGUGAACAAGACUGCUGCUAAUGCUCUUGCCCGUGUUUGGUCAAAGAGAGCUUCACCCAACCUUGCCUUAAAAGCCAAGGAUUCUUCAGAAGAAGAAGAAGAGGAAGAGAAAGAGGACGGCUGCCCUCAAGACACUACGUAUGCCUAUCACGAGCACAUGGCUCUUGCAUCAAGGCAAUUCUAGGGCAACAAGAGAAACUCAAGGCCCAAUUUCUCCAAGAAUAACUCAAGUGGAUUCAGGACCAAGCAGCGUGUGAGGACAUGCUAUAACUGUGGCAAUGUGAGUCACUUCGUGGCAGAAUGUCCCUAUGAGAAGAGGGAAGACAACAGUGGCAAGCUCAUUCGCAAAGACAAAGCCGAGUCUUUCCCAAAUAAGAACAACUUUGUCAAGAAACCACAUCCAAAGGGUAUGGUGGCAUUUGAAGAGUACACCUCUGAUGAUGAUGACGAUGAUGAUAUAGUGGCUACGGCUACUGUAGCCAUUGCCACCUCCUCUCCCAAGGUGUCUCUCUUCGGCUCCCCCAACGAUAACUGCAUCGCCAAGUGCCUUAUGGCCAAAGGUAUCGAUCAAGUAACACCCAACAUUAAGACCACCAUCACUACUGCUCCUUCAUUGUUAAACCAUGUUGAUGUUAGUGAUGUAGUGGAACUUAAUGAGCAUGAUUUUGACAAAUUUCUGUGUAAAAUCAAAGGAGAAUCCAAGAAGCACUUUGUUGCUCUUUUGGAACAACUAGGUGAGGCUAGUGACCUCAUCGAGUCUCAUGAGGAGACUAUCUCCGAGAUGCAAGGACAUAGUGGUGACUAUGCCGAUGAGAUUGCUGAAUUAUCUAUUGCUCUAUAAGAAGAGCGCAGUCUUCGUUUGGCUCUUGGGGAGUCACACUACAAUGAUUGUGCGAAAUUACAAAAGGAGCUAGAUCAUGCCAUUGUCUUUACAUGUGUGCUUAAGUCUGAAAAGGAUGCACUUGGGGUUGGCCAUGACAGACUCAAGGAGGAGUUUGAUACACUUGAAAAGGCCCACAAGGUCUUGAAAGGUGCUCAUUUCUCCGUGAAAGAGUCUCAUGAUCAACUCUGAGCAAAGAUUACCAAGGAGAUCUCUACCUGUCCUCCCUUUGUUCUCAUUGAUAAUGCUUGUGCAACUAACCCUUGUUGUGAGCAUGUACAUCUUGUGAAGGAAAAUGCUAAGUUGAAGGAUCAACUUGAGAAGGGCCUUGUGUCAUGCAUCCAAGGCGAGAAGAACCCAAACGACCUUUUGAGUAAUCAAAAGGGAGUUGUAGGAAAGGAGGGACUUGGACUUACAUCCAAGUCGAAAAGGAAAAUGAAGAACAGGAACAAGCGAUCUCUUUACCUCAUGGACAUCUUUGUCAAAGAGGGCGAAGGGACUCAGAAGGAGAACAAGAACAAGGUAGAGGAUGGUAUUGUCAAGAAGGGCAAAACGAUUCCUACCAACACAGUCGGCAAAUUUAAUCCCUCUUAUGUUUUAUGUCGGGCUCGUGAUGGGCAUGUUUAUGCCAGAUUUGUUGGUUCUUAUUAUGAGUCCAUAGAAUGGGCUAUUUGGGUUCCUAAGACCCUUGUUUCUAACAUCAAAGGACCCGUUCAAAAAUGGGUACCUAAAACCAAGACAUGAUCUAUUGCAGGAGUUUGCUUCCGGUGGGGUGUCAUGGUUGCUCGAUAGUGGAGCAAAAAAUCAUAUGACCGGAAGCAAGGACUUAGUGGUGGACGUGCAUCCUACCCCAUCUAUGCCCACCCAUGGCCAAUUUGCUGAAGCUUCAACGUCCAAGGUAUUGGGAUUUGGUAAGGUAGCCAUCUCUCAAGAUUUAUCUAUUGAGAAGGUCAUGCUUGUUGAGUCCCUUUCUUACAAUUUACUUUAUGUUCGUCAACUUGCAAUUAUGGGCUUUGACACAUUGUUUACUCUUGAUGCCAUGGUCCUUUUGUGGAGCAAGACUCUUAAAGUAGCCUAUGUUGGAUGUGUCUAAAAUGGUCUCUAUGUGGUGAACUUUUCACAGCGACCCACUAAGACUGCGACUUGUUUAAUGGCUAAAGUUGAGGCUCGCUUUGGCAUCGCGGACUAGCUCAUGUCAAUAUGAUAUCUUUGCAAAGUCUCCUCAAAGGGGACCAUGUUCGUGGACUAACGAAUGUUAGUUUUGCCAGAGAUCGUGUUUGCAGUGCUUGCAUUGAAGGGAAGAUUCACGAGACUGCUCAUCGUCCCAUGAUGACCCACAAGUAUAGGGGAUCAAUCGUAGUCCUUUCGAUAAGUAAUAGUGUCGAACCUAACAAGGAGCAGAAGGCUCUGAUAAACGGAUUUCAGCAAGGUAAUAACUGCUAGCACUGAAAGUAACGGUAACAAGUGAUUGUGUAGCGAGGUGAAACGUAGCAAGCAAAGAGUAACAAGUAACAAGUAGUAUCAAUGGUGCAGCAAGUGGCCCAAUCCCUUUUGUAGCAAGGGACAAGCCUGGACAAAGUCUUAUAGGAGGAAAAACGGUCUCGAGGACACACGGAAAUUUCUGUCAUGCUAGUUUCAUCAUGUCCAUAUGAUUCGCGUUCGUUACUUUGAUAGUUUGAUAUGUGGGUGGACCGGCGCUUGCGUACCGCCCUUACUUGGACAAGCAUCUCAUUUAUGAUUAACCUCUCUCGCAAGCAUCCGCAACUACAAAAGAAGAAUUAAGACAAAGUCUAAGCAUAGCAUUAAACUAGUGGAUCCAAAUCAGCCCCUCACGAAGCAACGCACAGACUGGGGUUUAAGCUUUUGUCACUCCAGCAACCCAUCAUCUACUUACUACUUCCCAAUGCCUUCCUCUAGGCCCAAAUAUGGUGAAGUGUUAUGUAGUCGACGUUCACAUAACACCACUAGAGGAAAAACAACAUACAACAUAUCAAAAUACCGAACGAAUAUCAAAUUCACAUGACUAUUAUUAACAUGAAUUAUCCCAUGUCCUCAUGAACAAAAGUAACUACUCACAAGACAUAAUCAUAAUCAUGACUAGAGGUGUAAUGAAUACAUCAAGGAUCUGAACAUAAACUCUUCCACCAAGUAAUCCAACUAGCAUCAACUACAAAGAGUAAUCAACACUACUAGCAACCUUACAAGUACCAAUCGGAGUUGCGAGACGAAGAUUGGUUACAAGAUAUGAACUAGGGAUUGGAGAGGAGAUGGUGCUCAUGAAGAUGUUGAUGAAGAUGCCUCCCCUCCGACGAGACGAGUGUUGGUGAUGACGAUGGUGACGAUUUCCCCCCUCCGGGAGGGAAGUUCCCCGACAGGAUCGUCCUGCUGGAGCUCUAGAUUGGAUGUGCUCAAGUUCCGCCUCGUGGCGGCGGCGAAACCACGAAAAAGCUCCCUCUUGAUUUUUUCCAGACCAGGACGCUUGAUAUAGCAAAAGAGGGGGGCUAGUGGGCCUUCAGGCAGCCCACAAGCCUGCCCUGCGCCACCAGGGGGGUGGUGGCGGUGGGCAAGCUUGUGGAGCCCUGGUGGCCCCCCUCCGGUAGUUCUUUCGCCUAGUAUUUUUAAUAUAUUCCAGAAAAAAUCCACGUAUAUUUUCAGGGCAUUUGGAGAUGUGCAGAAUAGUGGACUAGGGUUUGCUCCUUUUCCAGUCUAGAAUUCCAGCUGCCUGAAUUCUCCCUCUUCAAAUAAUCCUUGCAAAAUAAGAGAGAAAAGGCAUAAAUAUGGUACCACAAGUAAUAUAACAACCCAAAAAGCAAUAAGUAUCAACAUGAAAGCAUGAUGCAAAAUGGACGUAUCAACUCCCCCAAGCUUAGACCUCGCUUGUCCUCAAGCGAAAACCAAGUUCCAUAAACAUGUCCACAUGUUGAGGGACGAAGGUGUCGAUAAACCAUAAUACGGACAUGAGGGCAUCAUGAUCACACAUAGGACAGCAAUAUAUCAUAAAGAUUCUUAUGGGAAAGUAACAAUUCCUUCACAGAGCAAAGCAUGAAGCGAAAACUUUACCGAGAAGUAACCAACAAUAGUCCAUAGUCAUUGAAGCAAUUGCAAUUUAUCACAACAUCAUAAAGAGUCAAAUAAGAGCUUGUAAGGCAAACCCACAUACUCAAUCAUCUCUUUUGUUUUCCACAAUUGUUACAACUCACGUGGUACUCAUGGUGUCAAAGUUUCAGCUGGACACAGAGGAAGAUAGGGGCUUAUAGUUUUGCCUCCCAACCAUUUACCUCAAGGGUAAAGUCAACAACAAUAAAGCAUAAGUACUCAACUCCAAGUUGAUAUAUGAAUAUAGAUAUUUCCCGAACAUGUGAAGGUAGCCAAGACAAAGGCAAAAAGGGAAUUGGUGAAGAUCACCAUGACUAUUACAAGGGCAAAAAGUAAAGGUAUAAGAUAGGCCCUUGGCAUAGGGAAGUAGAGGUUGUCAUGCGCUUUUGAAGUUUGGAUGCGUGUCCUCUUAAUGCGGAGGAACGUCACUUUAUAUUGCCUCCUGUGAUAAAGAACUUUAUUAUGCAGUCUGUCGCUUUUAUGUCUUCCUCAUCACAGGUUCGUACAAAUCUUAUUUUCCACACACUAAUAGAUCAUACAUAUUAGAGAGCAAUUUUUAUUGCUUGCACCGAUGACAACUUACUUGAAGGAUCUUAUUCAAUCCAUAGGUAGGUAUGGUGGACUCUCAUGGCAAAACUGGGUUGGAGGUUUAUGGAUGCACAAGUAGUAUCUCUACUUGGUGCGGGAGUUUUGGCUAAUAUGAGGUGGAAGCAAUCGUCACAUGCUAAGGGAUCUCUAAUCAUAUAACAUUGUUUGGAACCAAGCAAACACAAUUCAUUAUGUUGUCUUCCUUGUCCAACAUCUACUCCUAGGCAUGUAAUAGUUUGGUGAGUGCUCACAAUUGUAAAAAGUGUCUAAGAUGAUAUAUUUAUAUGUGAACCUCUCUUUCCUUAUUACUUCUUAUUAAUUGCAACAAUGACUGAGGUCUAUGUUGAUUUAUUCUCAACAAGUUUCAAUCAUCAUACGUGUCAUAAGUGAAGUUAUCACUUUCCAUAAGAUCGUCUCAUGAUCUUUCAUGCUAUCGUUCUUUUCAUACUUUUGAUCAUGGCACAAAGAAAAGCCCUUGACUAAGACACUCUUUAUUAUAUAGCUCGUAAGCUCGAAUACAUCAGGGGAGAGACAAAAGCAAAAGAAUCAAACUAAACACUAAAGACUUAUUCCUCUAAAAGAAGAAAUAAAAACUGAAAAGGAAAGAACUAAAACAAAGGUAAACGCAAAAGAUAUGAAGGUGAUACGAUACCAGGGCAACUCCCCCAAGCUUGGCAGAAGCCAAGGGGAUUGCCCAUACCAAUGCUUAGUUGUCUUCCUUUGGUGGUGAUGGUGGUGUUGUUGUCGGAGUAGUCUGAUCCUCCGUCUUCCAAGGCAUAGGUGCUCCAUCAUGGCAGGAUGAACGAGUCGCCGGAAUCCUCAUAUCUGCAACAAACCUUAUUGAUUUAAAUCUGUACUCAUACUCACAGUUUUGAUUCUGGAGGUCAUAGAUCUAGCCCUGAAGUUGAUCAACCCUAUCAUAGAGCCUUGAGAGGUGUUUCCCAAUAUCAAUGGCAUCCAUCUUGUGAUUGCUAGUGAAUUAUGUGAUCAUCGUGUGGUUGGCAUUGAGUCCACGCUCCACCAUCCUUUGGCACGUGAAGACUUGUUGCUCCAUUGCUUCGAGCCUCGUCUCCAUGCUUCCGGUCUUCUUAGGCCCCUCAACAUCACGGAUGUGCAACAUACCCUCGCUCAUCUUGAUAGAUUGAGGGUGUUUCAGCACUUCCGUGAGGUAGGGAUUGAUGACCUUCUCAAAGAUCUUGUCCUUAGGAGCAUUUGGGGAAGUCAUGAUGAUCUAGAUCUGUCAUAGAAACAGGCUCGAAACGAAAACAGAGGAAAACUACGUGAUAUGGAGAUCAAAACCUUCGGCAAACUAUAUAUUGAUUUUUUCUGGGCCAGAAGGAGUCCUCCGCAAGAAAACGGAGUCCGGGAGGCACAUGAGGUGCCCACAAGCUUGCCCACCGCCACCAGGGGGGUGGUGGCAGAGUGGGGCCUUGUGGCUGCCUCGUUCGCUCUCCGGACUGCUUUUUAUUUUUCUAAUUUUCCAAAAAUUCCAAAACUGAGGAAAUUUCUAAUUGGAAAAGUAUCGGAGUCCAAUUUCUUGCCGAAACAGAUACAUCUUCGUUUUCAAGGUCUGAAACAGGUCGAUAAACAUCCCUUAUGCACUCCUCUGGAGUUAUGACAUUGAUGAUAUUCGUCUCAACCUUUAUGGGAGUACCAGAGAUGUAAUGCUUGAUUCUUUGCCCAUUUACCACUCUAGGAAAAUUUCCUUCCGUGUUAUUGAUUUUGAUGGCACCGGAAUGAUAUACUUCCUCGACAACAUAGGGACCUUCCCAUUUAGAGAGAAGCUUGCCUGCAAAGAAUCUCAAACGAGAAUUGUAUAGCAAGACAUAAUCACCUACGUUGAACUCACGUUUCUGUAUUCGUUUGUCGUGCCAUCUCUUAACAUUUUUCUUGAACAACCUGGCAUUCUCGUAUGCCUGGGCUCUCCAUUCAUCUAACGAGAUGAUAUCAAACAACCGCUUCUCACCGGCAAGUUUGAAAUCAAAGUUGAGCUCUUUGAUUUCCCAAUAAGCUUUGUGUUCCAGCUCAAGAGGUAAAUGACACGCCUUACUGUAAACCAUUUUAUACGGUGACAUGCCCACGGGAUUCUUAUAAGCAGUCCUAUAAGCCCAUAGUGCAUCGUUGAAAGUGCGUUAUAUCGACUAGGGGGGGGGCGGGUGAAUAGGACAUUUUUAGAAUUUCAUCACUGAGGAAAUUCCUUUUGAGGAAAUUCCUCACUGAUGACUAACUUACAGCGGAAAUAGUUAAGGAUCAGUCGUGNNNNNNNNNNNNNNNNNNNNNNNNNNNNNNNNNNNNNNNNNNNNNNNNNNNNNNNNNNNNNNNNNNNNNNNNNNNNNNNNNNNNNNNNNNNNNNNNNNNNCUCCUCCAUAUGCAUAUCAUUUUCAUGCUCAAGCAGAUAUUGCUCUAAAGGAUCCGUAGGAGGUACGGCAAUAAAGGCAAGAGCAAUGAUUUCAUCUCUACCAGACGACUCUCUUUCAUGGGUUUGUCUUCCAAACUUGGAGAAGUUAAAUUCAUGAGACACACCCUCGAAACUUACUGUGACAGUCUGCUUAAUGCAAUCAAUGUUAGCCUUGACAGUGUUGAGAAAGGGUCUAUCGAAUAUGAUGGGACAAAAGCUAUCUUGUGCAGUACCAAGGACGAGGAAAUCCGUAGGAUACUUCGUCUUACCAAACAGGACUUCUACGUCUCUCACAAUUCCCAGAGGGUAGAUAGUGUCUCUAUUAGCUAGCGUAAUAGUGACAUCAAUGGGUUCUAACUCAGUAGGUGCAAUCUCAUCUUUGAUUUCAUCAUAUAGAGAACGGGGUAUUGCACUAACACUAGCUCCCAUAUCACAUAAACCAUGGUAACAGUGAUCUCCUAUCUUAACAGAAACAACGGGCAGGCCAACUACAGGUCCGUGUUUGUCUUCCACGUGAGGUUUAGCAAUUCUAGCGGAGUCCUCACAGAAUUUGAUAACAUGCCCGUCUAUGUCUUCGGCUAAGAGAUCUUUGAUAAUAGCAACACUAGAUUCAACUCUAAUCUCCUCAGGGGGUGCAAGUGAUCUAAUGUAACCCCUACGUAUCAUAGUUGGAGCUUUAGAAUAAUCCUUUAUCCUAGCAGGGUAUGGUGGUUUCUCAGUGUAAGCACAAGGAACAACAGGAUCACUAAAAGCUAUGAUUUUUUCCUCAACUAGAUUGGUUUUGUCUAUGUUGAUUUCUACAGGAGGAUGAUAUUUAAAUCACUUCUCUUUGGGAAGAUCAACAUGAGCAAUAGAAGAUUCACAUAGAGAAGCUACUAUCUCAGAGUCAAGUCCAUACUUAGCGCUAAAAUCUCUAGAAGUGUUUGUCUCACAAAAGAUUUAACGCAAUCAAACUGGAAAUUCAUACCUAACUCCUUACCUUCCUCCAGCUCCCAAUCUUCAGAGUUGCGUUUGAUUCUCUCCAAUAAAUUCCACUUGUGAUCAAUAUCCUUCUUCCUAAAAGAACCGGCACAAGAAGUGUCAAGCAUGAUACGAUCUUCAUGAGAAAGCCGAGCAUAAAAGUUUUGAGUGAUGAUUUCUCUCGAGAGCUCAUGAUUGGGGCAUGAAUAUAGCAUUGAUUUAAGACUCCCCCAAGCUUGAGCUAUGCUUUCCCUGUCACGAGGCAAAAAGUUAUAAAUAAAGUUCCGAUCACGAUGUACUAAAUGCAUAGGAUAGAACUUUUGAUGAAAUUCCAAUUUCAACCGAUUGUAGCCCAUGAUCCAGUAUCACAUAGACUAUACCAUGUCAACGCCUUAUCCUUCAAAGAUAAAGGAAAUACUUUCUUGUUUACCUCAUCCUCGGGCAAACCUGCAAGCUUAAAUAAACCACAAACUUCAUCUACAUAGAUUAGAUGCAAGUUUGGAUGUGAAGAUCCAUCUCCUGUGAAAGGAUUAGCCAGCAGUUUCUCAAGCAUACCCGAAGGAAUUUCAUAAAAGAUAUUUUCAGUAGGUACCUCAGGUUGAGGAACAACCCCUCGUGCUUUCGUUCGUGGUGAAGAUACCCCGAACAAACUCCUCAAAGAAACAGUUUCCAUAGUGACAAGUGACAAUAAAUUUCAGCACAAUAUAUAAAUGUUUCCUUACCAAUUUCCACUUACUAAAGGCCCUGCACUCCCCGGCAACGGCGCCAGAAAAGAGUCUUGAUGACCCACAAGUAUAGGGGAUCAAUCGUAGUCCUUUCGAUAAGUAAGAGUGUCAAACCCAACGAGGAGUAGAAGGCUCUGUUAAACGGAUUUCAGCAAGUUAUAACUGCAAGCACUGAAAGUAGAGGUAACAAGUGAUUGUGUAGCGAGGUGAAACGUAGCAAGCAAAGAGUAACAAGUAACAAGUAGUAGAAACGGUGCAGCAAGUGGCCCUAUCCAUUUUGUAGCAAGGGACAAGCCUGAACAAAGUCUUAUAGAACGAAAAACGCUCUCGAGGACACACAGGAAUUUCUGUCAUGCUAGUUUCAUCAUGUUCAUAUGAUUCGCGUUCGUUACUUUGAUAGUUUGAUAUGUGGGUGGACCGGCGCUUGGGUACUGCCCUUACUUGGACAAGCAUCCCACUUAUGAUUAACCUCUCUCGCAAGCAUCCGCAACUACAAAAGAAGAAUUAAGACAAAGUCUAACCAUAGCAUUAAACUAGUGGAUCCAAAUCAGCCCCUCACGAAGCAACGCACAGACUGGGGUUUAAGCUUCUGUCACUCCAGCAACCCAUCAUCUACUUACUACUUACCAAUGCAUUCCUCAGGCCCAAAUAUGGUGAAGUGUUAUGUAGUCGACGUUCACAUAACACCACUAGAGGAAAAAUAACAUACAACAUAUCAAAAUACCGAACGAAUAUCAAAUUCACAUGACUAUUAUUAACAUGACUUAUCCCAUGUCCUCAGGAACGACAGUAAAUACUCACAAGACAUACUCAUAAUCAUGCCCAUAGGUGUAAUGAAUAGCAUCAAGGAUCUGAACAUAAACUCUUCCACCAAGUAAUCCAACUAGCAUCAACUACAAAGAGUAAUCAACACUACUAGCAACCUNNNNNNNNNNNNNNNNNNNNNNNNNNNNNNNNNNNNNNNNNNNNNNNNNNNNNNNNNNNNNNNNNNNNNNNNNNNNNNNNNNNNNNNNNNNNNNNNNNNNAGUUAAGGAUCAGUCGUGCAAACGUUCACCACAGCAGUGUUACAGAGUGAAGAUUAUGAAAACAGAUUGCACAGUAAGCAGGCACGCAGAAUACAGAUGAUGAUUAACUCAAGUGAAGAAUUUGGGGUUGAGGAAAUUCAGAUAAAGUCUUCAGCAAAUUCUUCAAACAGUCACAGUGAAAGUCAUCAACACAUAAUACAGAGAAUGUAAAGAGUUGAGGAAUUAGAGCCCGAUUCUUGGUGAAGACUGUUGUUGAUGACCCAGUUCCAACUGCUGUGACAGUUGUACAUCUGGUUUGGAGCGGCUUGGUAUUGAAACCAAAGGACACCCAGUCCCGGGACACACAGUCCCUACCGUAUUCUCCUUGAGCUAAGGACACACAGUCCUCGCCCAACACUCGUGGUAAGUCUUCAGGGCAGACUUCCAAACCCUCAUAAACUCGGUCACCCGACGAUCCACAAUUGACUGCUGGAUUGCUCUAGACCAUGACGCCUAACCGUCUGGAGGAUGCACAGUCCUCAAAGGUAAAAGGCUUCACUCCCACACAGGAACAACUUCUUCAGUGAUGCUCAAUCACUAGGUUUGGUUUGUGGUUUCGGUGGGUGGUGUAUUUCCUCACUGAUGAUUUACUCUCGAAGGCUCUGAGGAAUUUGGGUUGCUCUUAUGACAAGUGUCAGUUUCUAACAGAGCAUCCAACCAGCUAGUGGUUGUGGGGGGCGGCUAUUUAUAGCCUGGGAGCAUCCCGACAUGAUUUGACACUAAUGCCCUUAAAUAAUAUGACCGUUGGAGUGGAUAAGACCAGUGACUUGGCGUGGCUAUCGAAACGGUCGGGACCCUCAACUGUGAGAGUCCUCAUGUCACUCAUAUUCCUCACUUGAGGCUUUUGGUAGGAUUUGGCUUGGGUUGAGCAUCAUGAGGAAAUCCAUUCCAUAGUGUUACUUUGACCCCCUUUAACAGUACGGUGUUCCUAUUCAUCAAUUGCAAAGAAAGUAAAACAGAAAACGUAAAUCUUCACGCUUCAAUUUCUUCCGAAAGAUUUUCUUCAGGAACCACCGAUCUUCUCAAUAUCAAUAUCUUCAUGAGGAAUAUCAAUUUCAUCGCAGAUUCCUCGCGAUUCAUUUCUUCAGCUUCAGACCAAUUUNNNNNNNNNNNNNNNNNNNNNNNNNNNNNNNNNNNNNNNNNNNNNNNNNNNNNNNNNNNNNNNNNNNNNNNNNNNNNNNNNNNNNNNNNNNNNNNNNNNNUACCUGGUGCGUCAUUAGUAUACCAGAUACUAAUGGCGCACUUGUAAUGCGCCAUUAGUAAAAAAAUCUAAUGGCGUGAUGCUAGUGGCGCACCUAUAGUGCGCCAUUAGUAGCAAAAAAUGGUGCGCCAUUAGAAGGCCUUUUCCUAGUAGUGAGCUGCCCUCCAUGCUUGGGCUUCUUCCUCUUGUGCAAAAGCAAAAUCAAAGCAAUGUCUUCUUCAUCCUCCAAAUCGUAUUCCCCAUCGGAUGAAUCCUCAAUCAAAACCAUCUACAAACAAACUAGACCGUAUUAAAAAGUGUAAUCCUAAACUACAAACACAAAAAGCAAACAAAAAGUUGAAUACACAUUACCUCGAACACCUU